AAGAAAAAUAUCCCCAAAUUCAUGGAGCCCUUCAUUCAGAACAUGGAUAUGUACAUACGUAUUAAAGCACGAAACCUAAAGCUUGGAAGACGGAUUGUUGCUUUCCUCCCUGGCAAUUGCUGCAUCAACACCUAUGUUUUCAGAACCGGACUGGAUAGCGACUCGGCCGAGGUCAGGGGUCAGGGGUCAAUGGGUUUGAUCGGGGGUCGAUAGGGGUCGAACCGGAUGAUGUCAUAAAUAAAAUUAUUUAAAAAUUAAAAUAUUAUAUAUAUAAUAUUUAAUAAUAUGUUGAUAUUAAUAAAGGUAUAUUCAUAUAUAUUUGAUGUUUCAAAUAUAUUUAAUAAGAAAAUACAAAGAAAUUAGAACAAUCAAGUAGCAAUUUAUAUUAUUUAAUAAAUAUUAUAAGUUUAGAAUUAAAAUUAUGAAUUAAAUUGAAAAAUAACAUCAAAUUUUAGGAUAAUAUUUAUAAAGUAUCAAAUAUUUGAGGUAUAUCAAUAAGUUUUAAUAAUUUAGGGGGUCAAAACAUAAUAUUAAAAAUUUUGAAUUUUUUUUAAAAAAAAACACUGUUGAACCGGAAAAAUCGGGUUUUUUCCGGUCAAAUCCGGUUUUUGACCGACUUUGACCGGGUUUUAAAUUCCCGAUUUUUUAGUAUGACUCGGACCGACUAUCUGGCCGGUUCUCGGUUCAACCGGUUCGACCGGCCGAUCCGGUCCGAGUUUCAAAACAGAGAUCAACACUUGAUUCAUUGCUCGAUCUGAUGGCUGGUGGCAUACUGUGGCUAACUCACCUGUCUACGAAGAGCAUAAACAUUUACAAGUAUCCCAUUGGCAAAUUGAGGGUCCAGCCUGUGGGCAUAAUUGAAACCAUCAAUGUUUGUUGGGCAAAAUUUGAAGGAGUCCGACAUUUUUUAAUGGGUGGCCCACCCAUUACACGGCCACAAUGGGUGGCCGUGUAACCAACCCAUCAUUACACCCCUUAUGCAACUCCGUUGGAGUUGCUCUAAGAGAUACUUGAGACUUCAUACUUUCUUGUUUUUAUUUUGUGAAUAGUUACUUUAUAUAAACUGAUUCAUCAUUGUCAAUAAGCUUUACUUAUAUACACAAUGAACUUUAUCUUGUUGUUUUGUUGUUCUUUACUUACGUACCCCUAUUAGUUUUUUUUCUAAUAUAAUUUAAUUAAGAAUAAAGGAAACAAGAAUAAUAUAUGUUUUUUUGUAGAAAAGGAACUAAUUGGUUGUUUUCUUUACAGCUUUAAUAACAAUUAGUUAAAUGCAAGAAAAAAUAAAUUAUUAAAGGCACUAAUUGGUUUUUUCCUUGAAACUUUAGUAACAAUUAGCUAAAUGUUAAAAAAAUUAUUCCAUAGGAAAUAGAAAAAAAGAAAAUUUUUAUGUAAGCAAAUGCUAGAUGGAAACAAUUCUAGUUCUUAUUGAAUUCUUCUCUCAUUCAAACAAAGAAUUUGGAAUUUUAAAUGAAUUGUGUAUCAAUUCUGUGCAUUUCCCAAACAAAAGAAUUCCAAUAUAUUGAAAUUCCAAUUCCUAGAAUUAUAAUUCUAUAGAAUUCCAAUUCCAAUUCCAAUUCUGUAGAACAAAACGCACCCUAAGAAAAAUAUCCCCAAAUUCAUGGAGCCCUUCAUUCAGAACAUGGAUAUGUACAUAUGUAUUAAAGCACGAAACCUAAAGCUUGGAAGAUGGUUUGCUGCUUUCCUCCCUUAGCUGCAGUUCGAGAUGAUCAUGUUCUUCCCUCCUGCCUUGAUGACUUCUUUUACCCCUUUCGUUGCUUUCAUUUCCUACCUCCAUUUUGUCAUUCAGUUCAUCAGGAUCGAGUAUUUGCAUAGGAAACAAUAUUGAAAUGGUUAUUCUGGGAAGAAACUCCUUAAAGCAACUAUUUGUAGUUUCCAAGGCUACUACAUCUUGCAAGAACCAAACAGAAUUUGAAUGCUAUGGUGACUGGAGCUUGCCUUACUAUUAACAAAACGAAUACGAACAGGAAUAACACACUCUUUCCAAUUUUUUUGGGUGCAAGUCAUUGAUAACAAUAUUGUAGCCAGUUAUGCAGAUUUAUCCAAAUAGCUGGUUGAAUAAAUAAGAAUUAUGGAUCCCAAAACCCCUUAAUCAUACCAUGCUUUUGCUCAUAGCAAUUAAACCAACCUUUUCUCUGGCUUUGCCUGGAGGAUGCUGCUUCUUCUGUGGUCCGGUUUCCACUUUAAGUGCAUAUGCUGGACAGUAUAACUCUCCCUGUCCCACUUCAUCUGCUGAUGAAGAUUCAGAAUUCCUCUUGGCUUCUGUCAUUUCUAUCUUUGCUUUUCUUUUUCUGUAUUCCUUGCAUAAAAACUACCAUGAAAAAUGGUUGCACGAGAAAGUCUUAUUAUAACACUUGUUUCUGAAUUUCAAACGGUGCAAACAUUAGCAUGCGGACUCAUCCCUUGCUGACAGCACCUGUCCAUUUUUUUCUCUGCUGCAUGCUAUAUUGGAUUUUGUCUAUUAGGUCUUUUCUCUUCUCUUGGGUUCUUUUUGGCUCUAGAACCUUAUGGUGAGUACUGGUUAUUGCUAAAAAUAGAGAAAAUUUGAUAUGGUCCUGGCCCUUUAUAUUCUACCAGUCAUGCUCGAAUGAUUAUUUAAGGGGUUUGACAAACUGGAAUUCUGGUCUCAACAAUUGACUUGAAAAAAGAAAAAAGAAUUCUAACAAAGAGAAGUGAAAUGUAAGAAGUUGCAGGAAAGAACAAGGAUUUGAACUUAGGAGUAAGAAGCUCAGAGGAGGAGAAUUUGAACUCAAGAUCUCUAAUUCCUGAGACCUAACCUCAACAAAUGACUUUCUGAACUGCUAGUAUUAAAAAUUUAUUCAAGACAAGUAAGAAUUUAUUCAAGACAUUUUCCUAGCACCAGUUGCAAUGUGUGAGCUACAGAGACCAAUUGCCUCUCUACCUUAACUACAACAUCCUCAAUUUAAAAAAAAAAUUUGUUUCUUGAUAAUCAUCCUCAAGAAUAAACUUAAAAUGGACUUGAGCAUUAUCGGGAGUUUGGUAUAUUAAAAAAAAAAAAAAUCGAUGUUCAGAUUGCAGUACACUCUCAUAGUGAUCUUUGACUGUCCACAUCCCUGCCCAAAUGUUUGUGCAAAGUAAAAAUGUUUUGAUUUUUCAUAUAGAAUGAUACUUAAGAUAGCAAAAGUCACUGUGGCUGAUCUAGAAAGCUUACAAAGCUUAAUAACAAGAGGCAGUCUACAGCCUGCAGCAAUUUUAGAAACUAAAAGACACAUCUCUACAUUUAUGAAAAGCCUCAGGAAAGAUCAGUUUAUUUACACCGACCAAAACUAAAUGUAAAGCCAAAACUGUAGCAAAAUCGGGAUACACAGGAGAGAACAUAUAGUUUCUCAAGAGGUCAUGUUCAAAGUGCAACAACCAAUAUCUACUCUAUCCACAGCCGUUGCCCUCAGUUGUGUGCCAUUCCACCAACUUGUUACUCUGUAAUUCCACUGUUAACUGCAUUACAAGUUCAUGCCUUUGAGAGUAAACGAAGAGGCAAGAAAAUUGAUAAUUGGAAGAAGAACAAGGAAAAGAAAAACGGACACACGGUUUAAGUAAAGAAAGUGUAAAGCCACUGAAUGAAAAAGACAAUAGUUGAUGAGCAGGGUUAAAAUAUAACAACUGAUGGAAAACGUGAAAAAAAAAAAAAGAAUGAUUGAAACAGAAGUUACCUAAGAGUUCGGCAAUAAGCGACCAUUAUACAUCUUGUCAAGCAGUUGUUUAGCAUCUGGCCUUCUGAGCAGACCUUUGUUGUUGGGCAAACCAGUCCCUAAACAUACAGGACACACAAGUUUCCCUCUACCUGCAAUGAAGUAUCGAAUAUCAAAGCUUAACCAAUGUUGACACUGUUUUGGAUCAGUACUCUUCUGUACAUCUCAAAACCACUACCACUUUAAUAUAUUUGUCACUCAGGAACCUGUUCUCUGUAACUUGGGACUCGAUCUACGCUGUGUUUUUAUGCAACCAUACAAGUGUAAAGCAUGUACGUGCAUGUGUAUAUAGAUACCUUUUUUUUUUCUUGUAUACGGAUAUCUGUUUUACAUUGAAAAGCAACUUUCUCUAUGACAUGUCAGUAUAGGAGGAUGGUAGUGGACUCUGAAAGCCACCAUAAAUGUACAAUAUAAUCUCUAUUGAUUAUGUAGAUUUUGGUUUGCAAAUGGAAGAUGUAAAUUGCUGGAAAACAAUUCAAGGAGAUAUUCCUUCAAAAUCACCAUUUUAAGGUGGUGAAACAUUGAUCACAAACAACCAUGUUCACCAAACAGCUAACUUGUCUCUCCAUGGCUAGUGGGUAAUGUCAUAUUAGUGUAACUGCAUAGUAAUAACCAUUCUACCAAGUAACUCCCUGACGCAAAUGUUGUUUUUGUAAUCUGUUGUAGUUCAAUUCUAGUAAAAUCUUUCAUUGUAAUUACAGGAUUGGGUUUUCCUCAUCAAUCUUCUGAGGAACAAUUCUAAAAAAUUUCCAUUGAGGGUUUAAUAUAGACCAGCAUUGUUCUAUUCUCAUAACAAUUUCUUUUUCCUUUUUUAACAUAAGUGUCCAAUUUAUUGGUUCAGUAUCAACGAAACCAGUAUAUGCAGACAUGAACCACUCGUCAGCAAAUCCAUCUUCCAAAACACGACCUAAAAGUAGUCGAAAGACAAGAGAAACAUAUUCCAAAUUCAGGCUUCACUUUUACUAGAAGUCAAAGUUCCAAUAUUUGGGUGUUCUCCUGAAAGUGUGAUCAAGAACAUCAAAAGGUACAGAAACCUGCCUGCCUCACAUAUUCGAAAUGCAAAUCUAGUAAAACAAAACAAAUCAUUUUGAUGUAAAGUAAUAAGGGAUAAAAAUAUCCUGCUGAAUGACUGAAACUUUCUGAACUCAUAUGCAAAAAUGUCUAGCAUCAUUUCUGGUAGCUUUCUUUCAAGAUAACAUGUAAUAUAGUAAAUAAUCAGUAACAUAAUGCCAUCUUUACACAGAUAUAAUGCAGUGAGGCUACUAAAGUUAAGUGCCCUAACUGGCUUAUAGCACAGAAGUUUUCAUGGAAAUCAAGAAUUUAUGAGUAGUGAAAAUUUGCAUACCAUAACAAUUGGGACACUCAGUGAACUCGUAAACAUCUUUCGCCCGUUUUCUGUUGAGAGCUUUCCAUUUUCCUGUACCACCACACAUAUCACCUAAAUAAAAAGCAACAACCAUCUUAUAGGUACAUAUUGUCAACAUGAAACCAAUUAUAACUUAUAUUUGCAACAAUAACGUAUCUGUUUCAUUGACGGCGCUGUAUAUAAGGCAUUUGACUAUGAUUAAUACAAUAUACUUGAGACAUAGAAAAGUAAUGCAGGAAUCAUAUAUUUGAAAUAUUUGCAGAAGAUUACAAAGAAUUGUAAUACAAAACCAAAUUUAGUUUUAAAUGUACCCUGUCAAUGUUAACUGAUACAUGUAUGGCAUAAUAGAGUAUGAUACUCUACAUGCAGCCCUAGAGAAAAAGACUUGAACAUAGUCGGUGGAGGUGAAAUGAACAUGUAGGCAACAAAAUAUAUGCAUCAUGUCAAGUGUCAAAUGAGCAUUGUCUUUGUAAACAAAGAGGUUCAUCUUCACAGCUCAGCCCAGUUGCAUUUCCAUAGUUCAGUAAACCAUAUGUGUUUUGUAUAUUGAGCCAUAUCUAGGAUAUGGUCUUUUGAAUUUUGAUGAAAAAUAAUUACCAAGAGGUUUGUGUUGCUAUUACAGCUUAUGUACAAAGAACCUUAGGUAAUGAAGAUUCAUUUAAUAUAAGGAACUGAAGAAAAGUAGCUUUAGUGUCAUAAGAGCUUUGCUAGCAUCAAGUCACUGAACUUCUAUCCUGGCUUUUAUUAUUUAAACUACAUUUUCUACCAAAGAAGGAUGAAUGGAAUAUUCAACCCUGCCACUAGGACAAGCUUGGCAUGAUUCUAUAAUUGUAGUCAUAGGAAGUGAAUUAAUCCCGUUGAUCAGUGAAAAAUAGUCUCUUUUUAUGUUUUUCUUUAUAUCUCAUUGUAAUUGACAAACACUAAGCAUUUUGCCUUCGUGAGUUAUAAGUUUACAAGCAUCCCUUUAAAUGACAUUACAUAGUAAAGAAGAAAUGAAGUGAGGACCCCCAAUAUCUAAGAUUGACCAAGCUAUCAUUUAUCAGAACAGAGAUUGUUAUCAUGCAUUAUGGUGGUUCCUGUUAUCACUUAAAGUCAUCUUGACCACAGGCUAAUAUAUAUGCUUCAUGAAAAUAAUGAAACUUUGUCCACGGAAUUCGAUAAAUCAAAGAAUCGAGUGGACAGUCAAACUCCAUCUAUGCCUUAGACUUCUAACAGUUUUGGAUCUACAAAAUGAAUUAUACAGAAUGUAAACAAAAAGAAGACAAGAGACAAAGAGAACAAAUAGCGAAUUUCUAAACUUACAAACGACUGCUCCGCUACCCCACAAUUCCGACAAACAGCUCGCUCCUUUGCUUCUGAAGCAAUUGCCUUAGGUUCAGAAACAGAACUGCUAGAAAUGUUUAUCAGUGCUACUGUUGAACAUAAACAAGUCAGACACAAGCGUCGUGAAAUUGAUGUUUCCAAACCCUGUUUCAGAAGAAACAACCAUCCCAGCUGUAAUUGUUGUACAAUAUAACCCAUCGAUAAUUUUAGCAGCAUAGACAUACAAGUUUCUAAUUCACAUAAACAUUGUCAUUAAGAAAUUUAAAAUCAUCAUUCUUUGGUACAACUAAACUACAAAUAUGUCUACUGAUGUGUGCCUAUUGUAUUCAUAUAAGUUCAGGUUCAAAGGGCUCAAGCAUUCGACAUUUGCAGAUAACUAAAGUCUUACAACAAUGUUGCAUAGGUGCAUAGAUGUAAAACUAAAGAGCAUAAGCCAUAAUUAGCUUUUGAGCUCCUUGGAAACAACUAAGACUCUAUCAGAGAUUAACAAAGAAAUUAAUUUUCAGACAGGAAUAGUUGAUACCACAACUGUAUCAGAGCUCAUGUGGCAUUUCCCUGAUGAAAGUUCUACUCAUCUUCAUUACAGAUAAUUAAAUUCACCCAAAAAAUUCAAAAUUCACAGACGAGCAUUUUCCAUUUCGUAAAACUGUGCAAGGUAUUGAGAAGUUUCAUAUAGCUUCAACAAUUUGUUGACUGCAGUCUGUCUAAAACUGUCAAUGAUCACAUAAGAAACUCAAUAAAGUACAAACCGAAUAAGAAAAAGGAUUAAAGAAAGGGGCAGACCACUUUAUCACUGGGUUGUGAUGAAUGGUCUGAGGGUGAGCAAUUCUCAUCACCCAAGCUGCAUCUCAAAUUAAACCUGGCUGGCUCCAAUUUGGCUGCAAUCCCACAUCACAAAAUCAAUUCUUUAAUCCAAAAACCGGGGGUUUGGGAGUGGGGGGCACACCCAUUAUAUUUCAAAUUUUGGGUUUUCUUUAUCUAGUUUGAACAACGAAAGAAAUAUGAAAAAUGAAGUUAAUUGUGCAAAGAAAUUCUAGUAACCAAAAAACAGUAGAAAGAGUAUAAAAACAUCAGCUUUAUGCAGUUCUGUGGGAUAUAAUUUGAUAAUCAGCAAAAACCAAAAGUUGAAACCAGUAAGCUAAAACUUUUAAAUUGCUUCAUACCAGUGCAAGAGCUAAAUAGAGAAAGAUAAAGAAAGAUACGAGGAAAACACUUGUAAAUUAUGCAGUUAUCUUAUCUGUCUAUCUUCUAUGUAAGCUAUAGCUGCUCUAAAACAUGAAUGUAUGUAAAAGAAACCAUAGAGAUAAAGAAGAGAGGGAGAAUCUGACAAUGGGUUGGGGAAGAUUUGAAGCGUGGUGAAGAGAAGAGCGGGAAAGCUGAGGCCACCGUUGCAGAAUAAUGGGAAAACAGUUGAGACGCCAUUUCUGCUCUGUUACACUCUCGCUCUCCGGGUGUGGAGGAUAUUGCCAAUUUAUGGUAUUCCUUUAUUGCUUCUUUCUUUCUUUUUUUUCCUUUUCUUUUUUGUGUGAAUUUGGGUAAAUUGAUACAAUGGGCUCUCAAUUUUUUUUUUUUAAUGACUUCAAUUUAGUUACUCAGGUAAUAUUAUAAACCUUACCAAAUUUGUAAUAAAUCCCAUGAGUAAAUAUUUCAUGCAUUGACAAUAUACACACUUGUGCAUCCAAUUGCAUUUCCAACAUGUAAAAUUUGUUGUUUAAAUUUAAGUUUAGAUGAGGUGACAUGCAUUUAUAUACACAAUUGCAUAGCUAUUGCAUUCCCAACAUGCAAAGUUUGUUGUUUAAAUCUAAGUCUGGAUGAUAUGACAUGUAUUCAGAUCAAGGUUUUCAAAAUCAGAAUCCUACCUAGGAUCGUUUUUUGGUUAGCAAAAUCGAAUCGUAGAAUCGGUAGACCCUACAAAAAAAUGUAAUAAAUUGUCAUAUUUAUAAUUUUUAAGUUUGCAAAUCAUAAAUAUAGUGACAAAUAAUGUAAUUCAUGUGCAAUCAAUAAAAUUAUAUUGCUAAUUAAGGUUAAAAUUGUGCUAUAUAAAGUAUUUCGGACAAUUUGAAAAAUAUAGAGAAAUUUGGAACUACUUAUAAUAAAUUGAUUAAACUAAACAACUUGUUCUUUCUUGUUGUAAACCCAAAUUCAAUUAUGGAACAAUAUACAUGGAAAAGUUGACUUUAUAUGUGUAUAAAUCAUCUUAUUAACAAAAUAGUUAAGCACAAUACAUUUAGUUAACUAUGAUUUAGUGAUUGAUUAUUACAUCAUUUUUUUAUAUAAUAGGAUAAUUAAAUAUUACAUAUAUAAUAAAAUGUUUCAAAUAUAUUUUAAUUGAUAGAAAAAUUGGUAUACAAUAAAUAAUUAAUUAAAGAAAAUUUUGAGAAUAGAAUUUUUUGCUAAAAAACGUGUAUUUUGGGUUCAAAUUUAUAAUCUACCACUUAGCCACUUAUAAUUAGCAAAAGUAUUAAUUCAUUUCUAUAGACUCUAAACCAUAUUAAUUUAUUAUAAUAAAGACACAAAACACUAGCUCCAUGUGAUAACCUAUAACAAAGAUCAUCUAUUCACUUUAGUGAAUUAUAUGAGUCAAAUUUAAAGAUUCAUCAAAUUUUCUAGGUUCGGAAUUGGGGUUAGUUAUUUACAUAGAUUUGAAGCACUUUGACUAUAGUUUACAACGUAACAAACAGCACUCAAUUUCGACUUUUCUACACAAAGAUAUGGUCAAAAUACUAAAAUUGUUACUUAAUUUAUUAGAAAGUUUAAUCCAUAUAGUAUAUAAUAAUUCAAGUUUAAGAAUUAGUUAUAGAGUUUAAGAAUUAGUUAGUGUGAUGUGGCAUGCAUUUAGACCUAUCACUCUAUAUAGAAAGAUUAAUCAUUUAGACCUAUCACUCUUUAUAGAAAGAUUAAUCAUAAUAUGUAAUAAUUCAAAAAUUAAUUAUGUGAAAAGUCACCAAGUUCUUUCUUUCAUUUUGUAGAUAAUUUUAGCUAUAAUAAUGUAGGCAAAUUUUCAGCCUUCACGUAUGGUUAAAAAUCCAUGAAUUCACCAUUCUUAUAAAUAGGAUUUGGGAUGAUCUUGUAAGAAGUCAGGAUCCUCGGGUUGGUUUUAGUUUGGUGUCUUGAGUUUUGGUCCUUUAGAUUGUGAUAACUUGGUGUAAUAUUUUACAUUAAAAUUGUGAGCUUUGACUAACACUGUGGGGUAUCCGGACCACCCCACUAAUCCCGCACAUCACCCAGACAGAGCGGACCCGACCGAUACCUAAGAAUUCAUCAGUUGGGUUGCAGACUGGAAUCGAACCCAGGCGGACUUGGAGUAACUACCCCGCCUCUACCAUCCGAACAAUCCAGCGCGGGCUCUGGACUCACUACUUGAGAAACUCAAUAUGAUGAAAGUUUUGCAUAAAGUUUAUUGGAAUGAAAAUUGGAGCCACUAAGUCGACUAGAAGGGAGAAGGGAAAAUGUAGAUGUCGUGAAAACAUACAUGCCUACACAACCACAGAAAUGUGUAAUAAAAACUGCCUAAGCUAUCUCCAUAAUGGAACCAUUAAGUGCUCAACAAAGUUUACAUGAACACCCACAAAAAAAACACGUGGCCAAAUUUAUCAUUUGCCAUACUUUCUAGGCUGAUAACUCUUCCAUAUUCCAGAACUAAAACAAAAAAAAGCAUUACAUGACAAAGAAACAGAAGGAGAGGUAGCCACUCUUUAGUCCAAUUGCUUUAACACACAAAUCAAACUACCUGUAAUAAGACCAUUAUUAUUCCAAGGCACGAGGAAUUGUUACCAAUUUUUGUAAGAAAAAAUUGCAGUCAUUACGAGAUGUGUAAAAUGAACGUCCAGCAAUAUUUGACCAAAACAAGCAGAAUUAAAUAAGUUUUGCCAAUCUAUUUUUCCCUCUUUUAGGGACCUCCCAAAAAGUUCAUUCACAAAAAGGUAAAUGUAAGUGUAACAAUUAUAAGACCGCACGUAAAUUCAGAAUACCAACCUAUCUGACAUCAUCAACUGCAUGUGAUCUUCACAAAAUGCUGGCAAACCUUUUCUCCAAGGCAUCUUGCAAAGCAAGAAAGCACCCCCAAAAUCAUGAAGCAGCAAAGGAAUCAAGCUGCAAAACAAAAGACUCCCUUAUACCUACGAAUUAAAGCAUAGUCCACUCCAACAAGAAAUAAAAACAAUAAUGAGCUGAAAUACUGCAAUCUAUCUUCGCAGGAGCCAUAGACCAGCUUAGAGGUAGAGUGACUAUUGCUUACAUGAACUUCAAUCUAUGAGGCCUCAAAUUACAAAACCACUUUUUGGUACUGUUUCAACUGAUUUGAUUUGUACUUCUAUGCCAAGGAUUGCCCAAAUCUUCAGUUCAAGCAUAUGGGUAUGCUUUAUACAAUUCAUUGAUUUGUAAGCUUCAAAUAAUCAUUUCUAGAAGCAAGUCCUUUCACUCUAUUUUUUCAUUCAAGAAAUAUGUCUGUGAUUCACUCCCAGAUCUAACUCUCUCAAAAGAAUGGCACAGUCCUUUUCGCAUUCUUUGUCAUUGAACCAACUGCAUUUUUCCCACAAUCCCAAUUCACUGAUUAGCUGCAACAAAAACAUCCUUCAAUAACUCCAAAUGUUACCUUCUUAAACCAGGGAAAAAAAUACAAUUAAGGCGUUAAAUCAUCAUUUCAUAGACGUUUAAGGAUACAAGUCAGUGAAGGGGAGAAAAGAAGUAAGGUGUCUAAAUUUUUUUUUUUUAAAAAAAGGACCAACAAAAACAGCAGAAGGGACUGAAAUACAAAUUUAAGUGAAUGAAGCCAUUCUGUUAUGCAAUGAUUUUAGAAAAGAGGAACAAGACUCCAACUCAAACAUAAAAUCCUAUCAAGAGAGGGAAAGAAAAUGAAAUAAAAAAAUAAUCAUCUUAUAAAUGGAAUUCUUAUUUUUUUUUAAAAAAAAAAAGCAGCAGCAAAGACAAUCAGACUCUCAACAUAUCAUUUCCAACAACUUACCACCAUAAUAGACUCAGAACAGCUUCUAUGUACAAUUUUAAUUUACUCCAUCUUAAAAACUGCCUGAAAGUAUAGAUUUGCUCAAUCCAAGUAAAGUCAUGGGCUUAUCCCCAUCCAGCUAGCCACAAUGCAUCUUCAUUUGCUAAACAUCUUAAGAGUAUCCAUGCUUCUAUGAAUUGAGCUACAAAUCCUCCAAUUUUUUGUCCAUCUCAAUAAUGCAAACAGAUCAUUUAUCAUGUGAAGUUGUCCAUUUAGCCUAUCAGCAAAACCUCCACUUACUACAACUGAGCAAAAUUACUAUUUUGUUUAAAUUUAGAAAAUAUAUGAAGGAAAAAGAAGAAGGGAAUUCUUAACGUUCCAUUAUUGCUGAAAGUCAUAGCCUUCCGCCACACCAUAUCUCUUCUUUUUUAUUAAAUUUCAUUUUCAUCCAUUAACAUCCCUAAUCCUACCUUCCAAACUGGCUUUUUGGGACUUGUAGCAUAUAAUGUGAACCAAACAAUAUAAAAGAAAGAAUUGAGUUAUAAAUAGAUCAGAAUACUAAACUUAACUGCCAAGCCAAGAGAAUAAGCCAGACCUCCUAAAACAUGAUGGUUAUUAACAUGAAUGAAAACACAUAACAGGCAAAAGUCCGGACAUAAAAGUCACCAGCGAUGAGACAGAAAACAAGUACAUCACCAAAACAGAUCAACCAGAAAAUCAAACAUAAAUAAGCAGUCAAAGGAUAAAAAAGCUAAAAAGGAACAGAUAAGUAAGUAGAAUUAUGUGCAGUAAUAUGGAGGUCGAUGCACCAUACAGGGUUAAAGCAGUCCAAAUACAAUACACAAGACUGGGAAAAAAAAAUCCUUUGCCUGGUAUUACUGGUUACCCAGGAUUUCUUCCACAAAAAGAAAACUCACAAUGCUGGCAAUGUCUCUUGGAGAAUAGUUGAAAACCAGGAAACCAAUGCAUGAUAGAAUCCCCCAAGAACAGCACAUUUCUCAUUUUAUCAUGUUAAAAAUAAAACUUUUAAAGGUCCAUCAAACAAAGAUUCAAGGAAUCUAUUAGCUGACUGAGCAUGUGCAAGUAGCAGAUACCAUCUUAAAACCCAAAUCUUGCAUUUUGAUUUGUUAAUCAAUGCUUAAUUAAUUAUUGCAGAUAGCCAAGUGGGUGAGGGACAUACUCACCUUGAAGCAUCUAUUUUUCCUUAUUUCAUAGGUAGGAAUGAGAGGUUUUAUCUCCCUACCCAUCCAUAAUAAACCUUGAAACUUUGAACAAAAGAACAAUGAAAGGAAUUCAACAAGCAGAAAAUUUUUCCUCUAAAGAUAAACAGCAGGUACUUAAAAAAUUACAAUCCAAGAAAGCAAAAGAGGAAGAGAAGGAAAGCAAAGAUACAAUCGUGUGGGAAGAUCUUAUACUGACAAGUAGACCUCUUAUUACUAAAUUCAUGAACAAUUUAGGAAAAGAUAUUUCAACACUAUCAUGAAUGUGAAAAGCUAAAUUGACCAGAUAUGGUAUUGUAGGGCUCAUCUUAAGAAUGCACUAAGAAAGCAAUGAAAAAGACAAAUAUGGAUGUUUCCAUCCCAUCUAUACAAAGCUUCCGAAAAAAGACAAAUCUCCUCUCCAAUUCCCAUCUAGUGGGGUGUUUCAUUAAUAAUCUAAUCAAUAAGAAAUACAGGGGUUUAAAAAAAAGUAACUUCGUAUGCCUUUUUUACUCACCAGGACAAAACAUUUCAAAAUAGGAAAAGGUUCUGUCUUCACCAUUUGUUACUGGGUGAUCAUAUUCCACUGUGAUCAGCCAACAGUUCAACAAGUGGGUUAGCUUCUCCUAAUGAUGAUGAAUUUACUUUAUCAGAUACAGUAGUUUGAUGCAAGUUAUGAUCUAUUUCUAACCAACUAAGUGCUUGUUCUUUGCUAAUAUUCCACUCAUUCAUUAUCUGUCUCAACCUCAUCACAGAGUCCCACUUGCCAAGUGCUGCAUAUAUUUUUGACAGUGAAAUGUAGAUUGCUGGUGAUUGAGGAUUCAACUGAAGAAGGUGUUUUGCUGCUAUUCUUCCCAGCUCUAUAUUUCCAUGCAUCGUACAAACACCAAUUAAGGCAUUCCAGACAUGUUCGUCUGGUUUGCAUGGCAUCUUUCUUAGAUGAUCCAUUACCUCAUGGAAUCGUCCUGCUCGACCUAAAAUAUCAAUUAAGCAAGAAUAAUGUUCUUGAUCUGGAACAGUAUUGUGAUCGCGAUUCAUUGACUCAAAUAACCUAAGUCCCUCGUGCACAAGCCCUGAGUGACUACAUGCACUGAGAAGAACAAGAAAGGUGAUUUUGUCUGGUCUAACGCCCGCUGUCACCAUUUCAGCAAACAAAUUUAUUGCUUUCUCACCAGAACCAUGCUGUGCAAGUGCAGAUAACAUUGUGUUCCACAAUACUACGUCUUGUUUGUCACCCACAACAUCAAAAACUUGCUUUGCAAGUUCCAGACAACCACACUUUGAAUACAUGUCAAUGAGAGAACUUAAAACUAUUGAAUUAGGCCUAAAUUUAAUCCUUAUCAAAUGUGCAUGGAUUUGUUUACCAUGUUUGAGUGAGGCUAUACUUGCACUAGCACAGAGGCAACUACUAAAAGUAAACUGAUCAGGUCUAAUGCAAAGCAUCAUCAUCUUCAUAAACAAGUCAAGGGCCUCAUGUCCCUUGUCAUUACGAGCAUAACCUGAAAUCAUAGCAGUCCAAGAAACAGGAUUCCUUUCAGGCAUCACAUCAAAUAACACCCUGGCUGACUCCAUAUCACCCCAUUUGGCAUAUCCUGAUAUCAAAGUGGUCCAAGCCAGAACAUCCCUUCUUCCCAUCUGAUCAAAUAAUUUCCUGGCAUCAACCAAUUCCCCACAUUUAGCAUAUGCAUCAACAAUGGAACUAGAAAGGACCACAUUUAGUGAAAACCCUGCAACCAAAACUUGAGAGUGGACCUGCUUUGUUAGCCUCAACUCCUUCAACUUCACACAAACCGUCACCACUCCAGCAAAGCUAUACUCAUUAAACCCAAUAACUGACCUCCUCAACUCUUUAUAAAACCUCAAAGCUUCAUCACAUAUACCACUCUGCGCGUAGGCAAUUACCAUAGUAUUCCACGAUACAACGUCCCUCUCGGGCAUUUUAUCAAACAACCUCCUUGCAGGCUUUACCAUAAGUUGUUUAGCAUACCCAGAAAGCAUGUUGUUCCAAGAAUACAAAUUUCUCAAGCUCAUUUUAUCAAACACUAAGCGUGCUUCAAUGUGAUCGCCGCAUUUACCGUACAUAUUGAUCAAAUGAUUGGCUAAAAAUGUAUUGGGGUGUUUGAGACCAGUAACCUUUAGAUGGAGGUGAACCCAUCUGCCCAAUUUCAAAUUCUUGGACUCAGCACACUUCUGUAUGAGAAAAGCUAAUUUUUUACAGUCCAAACGAAUGCCCUUUUGCGCUAAGAGGUCUAAAGACUUGACAGCUUCUUGAAGGUGACCUUGAGAGCAAAGAUUCAGAAAGUUUUGGACUAUGCAAGUAUUAUUCUUGUUACUGGGCUUAAAUGACGGCUUGAGAAUGCGAGUUGGGGAGAAGAGAAAGGGCAUUGCAGGAUGCAAACAUAUGGGAUGGCGGCGGCACGCUGUUGUUCUUCAUUUAUGUUGUGAUGAAGUCAUUGAAAUCAACCGCUGUAAUAUGAGCUCCGGCGAGUAUCGCCGGUUCAGAUUGGCCGUAGGGAGAGCAAAAUGCAGAACCCACUAGUCAAAAUUAUUCAUAAAUGGAAAUCAUGCAAAUUUUCUAAUGAUUUACCGUUUUCAGUGUGUAGUGUUAUGGGUGAGCUGGUCCAAAAGCGCAACUAGACCUAAGAUAAUACAAAUACUACUUAUUAUGUAUUAUUGCUCACUAAACAAUGUACAAAAAAACUCAGCCAAUAGGCAUUGGUUAAGAUGAGGUCUAAGUUUUGAGGAAAAAAAUGAAAAAGUGAAGGUAAAUGUGAAACAUGAGAGAGUUUAGACUAAACAUUUUUUAGAUGCUUAUAGAACUUUUAACGAAUCGAACGGUUUAAAGUCAAUCGUUUAAUAAACAAAUCGGUACUCGAAUAUUUAUACAAAUAAACAAAUUGAACUCGAAUAAUAUUCAUAACUCAUUAAUUAAUAUUAGAGUUGAACUCAAACCCUAUUCGUAUAAUAUACAAACAGAGUUUGAACACCAAAUAUUGUGUUCGAUUCAGCUCGUAAAAAUUCUAGCACUCGAAACCUAAUUAGUGUAUGAAAUUUUCAAUGGUUUUAUAGAGGUUGGAAACUUUUUAUAGGGUUCAUAUAGAGUUCAUCUAAAUGGUUGAAUGUCCGUUCCAAUUGCAAUCCCAAACUGAAGGUUUCGUUAUUUGUUGUGCAAGAAGGAAGCUUGAUGUGAGUUGGUCACACUUAUGUUAGUCACUUUCUCUUAUUUAUUUUCAAAUUUAAUUGUUUGGUUGUUGAGUAAAAGUAUUUGUCAUAAACAAAUCAACUUUUAUCUUCUUAAGUUAAUUAGUGAAAGUGAGGAUGAUUGUGUCAUAUUCAAUUUGAAUAUAAAAGGAUUAAAGGUACAUUUCAUAUUCUUAAUAGCAAUUGUACAAUUUAAAUCGUUUCCAUUUGUUGAAAAAAUAAAAUGUACAAUUUAAACACUGUAAAAUUAAAAAAUGAAGGAAAAAAUCAAAUUGUGAUCUUCAUUUGACUCCAGCAACUUUCGUAGACUAACAAAGAACAUAGUCACAUUUAUCUUUAGGUGGAAAUAGGAAAGUUUGGUGCUAAUGAUAUGAAUAGCAAUUCACGCGCUUCUUCCAUUCACCAAAAAAAAAAGGGAAUAAGAAUGCCUAUUCUUUUUCAAUAUGAUUAUUCACGAAUAGCUAGCCAAAGCAGAAACUCGCAGACUCAUUCUUUGUAAUUUCAACUUCAGAUGUCUAGAUUUCUAUCUUCAAGGGUUUUAAACCAACUCAAUUCAUGUACAUCACCUAAUCCACCUUUUUGGUUCAUAUGCGGGUAUAGAUAAAUAUUUUCAAUUAACUCCUCUUUUCAACGCAUUGAUUUCUGAACUUUCUCUGCCUCAUUUUAUCACUACAAAACAUGUUUAAAAAAGGGGGGGGGGGGGGGAUUCCAGGCUCAUAACAGGCACCUCUACAAUCACCAUCAAGUAUAUAUUUCCACAAGAACAAUCUUUACAUUAGGCCAUGGAUUCUUCCGAGGCAUCUAAUCCCAGAGCAACUUUGUUAUCAAAUAUCAAGGGCAAGAAAUGAGGAAAAAAUCUGGACAAAUGUCCAAACAUAAUUCAAUCUUCUCCGCUGGAUCCUCACAAUUAACUACAGACUUCCUGGUUCAUGCUCAGAAUCAACACACAGUCCGCCCAUAGCACAGGGAAGCAAGAUAGAGGUUCUUUGCCCAUUUUUCCUGCUUAUAGUAAACACAUACAGAGACAACAAAGUUAACCUCCACAAUAAAUGAAGUAUUUUGAUAACAAGAUCCUUGUCCGCCAAACCAAACUGCAGGAUAGCCCUUCGGUAUGCAAUAAAGUUAAAGCAACAACGAUUGAAAACGACAGGUUACAAGGUUCAAAUAGCACAUCCCAACAAAUAUUUACCUUAACAUGGGUGCUUGGGAACUGAGAUGUUCUUAGAGUUUCCUGAGUCUCAUCAAGCAGUUUGCGCCGAGGCACACUCAAGAUAAGAGCAGCUUGAUCCCAGGUAGCAGCAGUGGCUGUAAUUCGGUAACCACUAUCCCACCGUUUAUGAAUGCCCUCACUGGGAUAAAGAAAAUCAAGCUCCACAACCUGGAAAAACAAAGAUAUCUCAGUCAAAACGUUUUAUGCUUAACAGAAAUAAAGACACAUCCAGGACAGUAAUAGGGAACACAAGGCACUCUUCUGACGGUAACAGCCCAUGUUUUUUUAAAAGAGGUGGGGAAUGCCAAGUUUCUGUUAAUUCAUAGCUCAAUUCCUUUCCCUUCUCCCUGUCAAUUAACAUAACAACUGUGAACAGCACCAAUAAGACUUUAAAGUUUAAACGGCAUGCAUACACCCCAAAAAAAAAUAAUAAAGAAGGGACAUAAAACUCUUCUAGGCAAAAAUUCUCAAGACAUUCCACUGCAUGAAGAAGAUAAAAAAGGGCAAUUUGCACCAGUUGCACAGCAUCCACUGUUGUCUAAGUUGAAUCAAUCUAAGAUGGCGAUUUUUCCAUUUUCCCACCCUAGCACAAAUGUCUAAAAAUGCAAAUUAGUUCAAUGGUUUUGAGGCAAAAUGUCUAAAAGUUUGUGCAGCUGAUAAGGGGUGAAUUGGGUCAAAUCUGCAAAAUAACCAGAAAACGAAGAAACAAGUAACCUAACCUGAUCACUGAAGCCAGAGUUUCGGGACAUGACCACAGCCCACCGAGUACCAGCAGUAGCCAUAGAUGUCACGUGAAACCCUUCCUUCCACUUCUUGUUAAUCCACUUGAAUGGAAAGGAAUCACUUACUUUGUAAGAUUGUUGGUUAUACAUGGUGCCUGCAGAGUAACAGGAAUUUAGUAUUAAGAGGCAAGAUAUUCAACUAAUAAAACUGAUCGAUCACACGUCCAAGGUUACAAAAAAUUAUUAUGCAUACAACUUUUUGCUCAAAAAGAGGAAAAGUAAAAAUAGUAAACCAGGCUAAACCAGGCUUCAUGCUAAUUCCCAAGCCCAAGGAGAUAAACUCCUGGUCCUUCCUCUUUUCUUUUUUUUUUUUUUGGGGUGGAGGGGACAAGGGUUGCAAAGGAACAAUAAAUCACAACUUGAUGUGGCAUGGACACUUGCAAAAUGAAAAUUGAGUCAUCUGUCCAGUAUUAGCACAAAAAUUGAAAUUAUACAGCACAACCAGAAUGAAGCAAUUUUAGAGUAUUAGCACAUCCCAGUCUCACUUUGUUCCCUCAAGAGACAAAUACUUAGCACAAGAAAUCUGUCAAUCUGAGCUCUACAAUGGUUCACAUAGACUAAUCUCCACAGAGACAAGCCACUGUUACAGCUCACCCAAAUGGACAAGAUGCACAAAUAAUGGUAGCAAUACUUAAGAAUUGUUUCCCUAUUCUUGAUUCAUCCGAAAGCAUUUUAGCAAGUAUAAUUAUGUUUAACUGAUUGAUAACAGACACCAUAUUUUGCAAUCUUACCUUUUGACAUUACCACUAACGAACUUCCAUUGGUUGCACCAGCAAGACAGCUGAUAUAGUAGUUCUUGUCCCACUGGUCCAUAAUCCACUCCUGUAAUAAAAAAAUAAUUGCACUUAGAGGUCACUUGGUCGGUGAAGUUCCAGAUAAGGACAAUAUCUCUGUUUGUCAACAAAACAGGUUAUGCAAAUAACUUACCUUGUGCAAGAAAAAAGGUGAUAUCUCAAAAACUUGGCUUGUAAAAUUAGUCCCAGCAUCCAUAAUAAUAGCCCACAAGUUGGAACAUGAUGCCACAGAACUUAUAUACAACCCAUCUUCUACCCCUCUUUCUACAUGUUGCGCUAAUCUUGCAUCCGAUACAUUAUAAUGGUACCUUUUGUGUAGAACCAAACAAAAAGAGGAUAAAAAAGGGUAUUCAAUAGGCAAUGACAUUAUGGCAAUGGCAGAGGACUAUCUACAUAUAUAAAUACACACGCACACAUAUACACAUACACAAUAGUCCUUUUGUCAUUUUCCCCAACUUUUUAUCCAAAAUUUUUUUUCUUUUAGGUUAUGUGGGUAAGCUUCACCAUCCCAGAACCACUGACAAAUAUAUUCUGGUCUAUUUUCCCCCUUUAACAGAAGCAGCCGGAACCAAAAAAGAACAAAGAGGAAACAAUGCUUCCAAUCUAUGUUCAAACCAAGUACUUACUGUUUCAGGAUUCAGAUUAGACAACAGAACACCCCGGUAACUUGAGAAAUAAAACAAUAUCAGAUAGCAUGAACUGAACUACCACCAUUCUAAGAGAAAGAUCUUUUUUUUUAACCUCUGUUUCAUAGGCUUCCUAGCAUUGUAAAUUGAAACCCAUUGUGAUGCUGGGACUCCCAUACGAACUUUCUUCCUCGGCUGUUCCUCUUCAUCCUCAUCAAGAUUCAAUCUGGGUCGCUUUUGGCCGAUUUGGAUAAUCUAGCAAAAAAGUUAAUAAAUAAAAGCUAUAAAAUGAUUAUGAACAUCAAAUAAAGGAAAGCAGAACAUGUACUCGGGUAAUAAAAGAAUCACCUUUUGAGCACCAUCUGUAUUUAAUGGUCGGGUUGCAGGAUCGGCAGCAAUCAUACCCUCAAAAAUAGAUAUUAACUUUGAAUACUUUGGCUCUUCGUCAAAUUUCAAGUUAACAACAGUUUCAAGAAAUUCUCUGAGAGGGGCAGGGCAAAAGCAACAUAGCGCUUCAGGAGCUGUUGCCAUCUUUUUCUUAGCCACCUGGAAUGAUUUGUUAUCACCCUGAGGUAAAAAGAUUGAACACGAGUAAAACAGCUGAAGAGGACAUCAGAAAAAUAAAGUAGACAUAGGGCUUAGCCGAAUACUCCAGUCUAAAGGUCAGAAAGUAGGACAAGGAAGUACCUGAAAACCUUGCCAUGGCAACCUGCCUCUGUGGAGAAAAAUAAGCGUAUAUGCAAGUGAUUCUAAAUCAUCCCUUCUACUAGCAGUCCUUCCUAAGUGAGCAUGCACACUAGCAUAGCGGACGGUCCCUCUGGGACAUCACCAGAAUGGGGGGAAAAGAGUAUUUAGUGGAAGCAGAGUUAUUCGAACAUCAGACUUUACAGUAUGAGCAACAUUCACCUGAAUAUGUCAGGACGCUGAUCAUAUUCAACAUGUUGCCCCCUGGUGCUGUCUCUCCACUUAGUUGCUGCAAUAAACGCAUAGAUACAAGUAAAAUGGAAAGUAUGGGAAAUUGUUUAAAAAAAAAAAGGAGAAGAACAAAUAAGAAGUCUAUUAGGUUGUGUGUCUCACCUAAUCCUAAAUCUACAAGAAACAACUUCUUUUCUUGAGGUGUUGAUGGCUGGCCGAGCAAAAAGUUCUCAGGCUUUACAUCCCCAUGCACAUACCUAAUUUCAUGAAACGUAAACCAUGGCAAGACAAACAUACAAACAUCAGUAGAUCCCAUCAAUACCAUACGAAACAUUAAGAGAUACAGACUGAAGGUAGGAACAAGAAAAAGGUGGUGUAAUACCCUUUUGCAUGCAGCUUCUCCAAUAUUGACAAGGAUUCAACUGCAAUGCAAGCAACCAUUUCCCCAGACAUCCUGCUAAUUGUGCAUGAUCAGUUCAAAAGCAAGGCGACUAAGUACAAUAUAUAUCUUAGCGAAAGUGAGAAACAACAGCAGCAACCAAUUCUGCUGAUACACUGCCUACUCCACCUACAAGGUUUCAAAAUACACUAAGACAGCAACAGAUAUCAAAACCAUUGGCAAAAAGUCAACCUUAGUUUAAAAUAAAACUAUUGGCAUCUCAAAAGAAGAUAACAGACUAUCACUUUACCCAAUUUAUCUUGUCUCCUACAUCAUCAUGGCAUAUGACCCGUUCUUAUACUUUUUUAUGCACAUACUAUUAAUCAACAGCAAGCAUCUGAAAUUGAACUUCAAAAUGCACCAAAACAGCAACCAAGUGCAAUACUACGAUAAAAGAGAACUCCUACUUCAACAAACAUCAAGCAUGCUGAAAGGAAGUUAAAUUUUAGUGUGCAAAAUGAAACCCAAUAGACAUGUAAAAGAGAACAUGGCACACUAUAUAAGCAACCCUUCAGAAACUUACGACUGCCCUGAGGAGUUCCAAACAUCCCACAAGCUGGGCCCUAACAUGUCCAUGACCUACCACAUUCAAAAAGCAAUCUAUCAGCAUACAUAUAGCCGGAACAGCAAUUCACAAAUCCUACACGGGCGUGUCUAAAGACACAUGUGCAGUACAAAGGCUAAAUGCAUUUAGCACUCAGAUCAUACCAUUACAUAGUAGUCUCCUUGUUUUCCUUUAUAGUGUACUUUAGGCACUCCAUGGCUACCUCCAAGAGUGCUAUUAAGAUAGAAGCAAAAAGAUUUUUACAAUUGAGAAAAUGUAGAAACGCUUGCUAAGGAGAGGAUUCAAAUGCAUACUUGUAAACCUGCCACUCAUAUGGAGGACCAUAGCUGCAGCCUUUGCUAUUUCUAUGCUCAAAUUUCAGAGCUACCUGAAAUGACAAACAACAUCAAAAUUAAAUCACAACAUCUGCAUUUAUUUGUGAUGCUGUUUAUUUUGAAUAGAUAAACGUAGUUUCUUGACUAAUUUAAAGAAAACGGGAGAAAAUUAACACUACCUCCACAGCUCCAGGACCUGUUGUCCGCUCUCCACCAGAAACACGACGACCCAAAAAAACCUGUCCAAAGCCACCUUUACCUAAUUUCCUCUCAACCUUAUACAUGGGUGAGCCUCCAACUUGCACCUGAAAAUCCACUCCAACAUAAGGAAAAAAUGUUCUUAACAUGCAUAAAGAAGAUGAGUCCACUAAUAACUUUCCUGUCUAAUAAAGCAAGCAAAUAACCCAAUUUUUAAAAAAAUCAGCAGGGGAUGGUUGGGAUUUAAGAUACCAGGGGGAUGAGGAGGGGGAAGGGGAUGAAACCGGGGACUUCUAAAUCCCGAGGUCUCAAUCCUGGCCAUUAGACCAAGGCCUCUACAAAAAGCCACAUAACCCAAUUAUCAACAUGCCAAACCAAAAAUAACUUCUUAGUCUUAAAUUAUAAAAGCACAAUUUGAGUUCUUGCAAAUCAUCAGAACAAGAGCUGCACCAAAUUUCUUCCACAGUCAGAUACAACGCCACCCCCAAGGCAUGAAGUCUUUGGGACUAAAAGCAUUGCAAAGUAACUAUAAAUUGGGAUCUACCUCAACACCCCUCUGCCAAAAUUCUCAAACAUGUGCUUUUACAUAAGAAGAUACACAGAUUGAGAUGCAAUUGAGCUUGUUCACUAACCCAAAUAUCAUUAGUUAAACCAAAAAUUUAGGAAAAAAAUCACCUUGAUGAAUUAGCACAUUGAAUGCCUGCAUUUACAUCUUUCAGCCCAUACAAACGCGCAUAUAGAUACAAAAUCAACAAAGUACUGCAUGCAGGCCCAUUUAUAAUUCAUCUUUACUCCCACCUACACAAACUAACCCAUCCUAUGCUGCAAUUAACUACGUAAGUGAUUAAUGAAACAGCGCUCCCCCCCCCCAAAAAAAAAAAGGAAUUAACCUUAUCAGGAAAAGAUGCAAGAGAGGCAUCAUCUUCUAGUCCAGCACUCCCUUUAGCACUCAUACCCCCACUUUCAUCCCCCAUCUUUUUGACCUUUUCCUCAACCACCACCGCCGCUUCUUCUUCCUCCUCCUCCUUUACCUUUUCCUUUUCCUUGUUAUCCGCCUUAGCUUUUCCCUUUCUUACCCUUUUCACCGGCUUUAACUCCUCCUCUACCUCAGCUACCUUCCCCGCCGCUUCCGCCGCUGCUUUAGCUUUCGCAGCACGAGUUUUAAUAUAGUUCCCAGCAAACCCAACACCUGCCGCCUCUCCUUCUACUUUCCCCUUCCUCGCCUUCUUUUCUUCUAUUUCCUUUCCUUCCCCAGCCGCUGCUGGCGGCAAAACCGGUGGAACUACUGUCGGCGAACCACAAAGGCCUAGACGAACUCCGGCCCGCAACUCCGACAUUUGCAGAUACCACAACCCAUGCAAUGAACCCUAACCCUAAUUGAAUUUACCACCAUCAGUACUACCUUUCUCUCUGUCGCAGUCCUCUUGAUCUUCUUCAGCUAAGAAAGCAUCAUUUCCGGAACCCUGAAAUCUAGCAUUAAUUGAAAAUUAAUAGAAAUAAAGUGUUUAUAAUCGGAAUCUUGACAAAGAAAAAGGGGAAAUCGGGGGAAGAAAUCUGGGGUUUGAAUUUUGGUGAAAUUGGGACUAGGGUUCGAGACGGAAAGCACGCAUGCCAAAAUAUCUCUGACUCUCUGUAUAUGUGUUGGAAAAAAGGUGAGAUAGUGCCAAAGAAAAAGGAAAGAAAACUGGUGUAUGAGUUUGGGCUCUUUCUUUAUUUGUAAAAUUAUGGCAUGUUUUGUGAAUUGCUCGAUGAGUACGUGGUCUAACUUUUCUAGAAGAAAAGAAUGGUGACCUACAAUUUUUUUUAAAGCAAAUUUAGCCCAUUUGGAUUGCUAUUUUUUUUGGGUUUUUUUAUAAAAAAAUAUAUUAUAACAAUUCGACAUAUAUGAGAUAAAAAAUAAUUAAAAAUUUGUUCGUAGAAUGUAAACAUUUUUAGAAGAUCGGAUAGAUAUUUUUCUAAAUUUUUGCUUGCAUCAUAAAUAUAUAUUUUCCAAUGCAUCCUUUUAUGUUCCCAAUCACAAUUACUUUUGUUACGUCGUAUAUAUCAUAUCAUAAAAAACGUUACAAUGAUUAUUCCAAAUAAUACAGCAUUUUAUCCAAACACAUUAAAAUCCAAACAAAAGUGCAUUUGACCUAUGAGUUUGGGGUAGCUGGUAAGCGAGGUGAUGAUGCCAAUAGGAGGUCGCAAUUAGAUUCCUACAUGUGGCACUUUAAAAAGUUCUAGCCAAACCUUCACCUCUGAAUAAGAGUCAGACUUUGCAAGCAUUUCUCUAGUCAAAUAUGAUGGAUUAGUCUUAUUUGAAGGUGGGGAUAUCAAGUGUUCAGUGGGAAAACAAAAAAAAAAAACAAAAGUUCAUUUGGAUAGGAUUUAUUUAUCCAAAAAAAAAAUUCUUGUAUCAUAAACAUAUUUUUUGAUAUAUUUUUUUAUUUUUUCAAUCACCUUUUAUCUCAUGUGCAUUAUAUUGUUAAAAGUUCUAAAGUAAUUAUUUCAAAUAAUCUCCUAUUUAAACAAGAUAUUAGCAAGUUCAGAAAAAAAAAAAAAAAACUUUCAAACCCCCAGUUUACUGUUCAUAUUAUUUUAUGUCUAAACUACUCUAUGACUUUUAAGAAUAGCUAUUAAAAUUGGCUAGUUAUUUUCAUGUUGAUGUCCAGUAAAGCUGAAAAAUAAUUUUAAAAAAAUUGACAAUUGAGUUGAUCUAUGCUUUUCAUAAACUUUGAAGUUGUCAUAUGUAGUAUCAUUUUUUUUAUCUGUGCAUUUUAACUUGAUAGCUUAAGCAUCAAAUUUAAUAAUUAAUGAAAGGCUUGGAAGCCUUAAUAGCAAUCGUCAACCACCACACUUGCGUAGGAGGUGUGAAUCGGUAAUUCGAAACUUUGAAAUUGGAAUUUUUUGAAGUUUUGGCAUCAGAAUUUCUGAUCGAAUUCGAUUUCGAAUUCACUAACUUCGAAUUUGAAUUCAAUUCGAAAUUCGAUAAAUUUUGAUUUCACUGAAUUCAGGAAUAUAAAAUUUAUUAUUAUAAUAUAAAUAUUAUAUUACAUAUAUAUAUAAAUAUAUAUAUAUAUAUAUGAAAAACUAAUUUGACAUCGAAAUAGGAAUUCCGAAUCACCGAAUUCAGGAAUAUAAAAAUUAUUAUUAUUAUAUAAAUGCUAUAGUUCAUAUAUAUAAAAAAAUAUUAUAUAUAUAUAUAUAUGAAAAAUGAAUUUGAAAUCAAAAGAGGAAUUCCGAAUUCCGAUUUCAAAUUCACGGAAAUUCAGAUUUGAAAAAUCCCAUUACUGAAUUCAAACCAAAUUCGCAUAAUUCAAAAUCGGAAAACCCGAUUUCAAUUCUGAAUUCCGAAUUACCGAUUUCAAAAAUUCCAAAUUAAAUUCGAAUUCGAUUGAUAAAUCAGAAUUUUUCGAUUUUGCACACUCCUACACUUGCACUAUUUCCCGUAGCUCCUCACAAGAGUCACAGAGAAAAAGGGGGGAAGAAUGUCACAACAUGAAAAUCCACUAGUACUAUCAAUCUGCUAACCAUAAAGUUCCAACUCGGAUGAAAAAUCAAAAAGCUUAUUACGAUAAUAUGGUGGAACUAGUGACUCUUUUUGCUUUGAUCUUGGUGGCAUUGGUAUCUAUAUUAGUCAUGGAUUGGGGUUUUUGUGCAAGUAGGAGCUAAUUAAGGCAAUGAGUAAUGCAAAAUUUGGUAGAAGGUUGCGUAGUUAGGUUCAGUAGAGUUAGAAGCAGUGGUUGUGGUUCUACGUUGCAACUAGGUGAUAUGGGGUUGGCUGGGGUGGGUUCUUAGGGACAACAAGUCUUCUGUUAUGCAAUGGUUGUGAAACAUUCAAGCUACAUGCUUUAAUAUGUUGAUAUCUGCGCUCUUUAAAUUAUCACAGUUAUACUUUUAAUUAAGUUGAACUUUAUAAAAAAGACACGUGUUAACACAUCAGGAUGUGUAAUAUAGACGUUACAUAUUAGUAUAUAACAGAAGAUGCAUAGUCGUCGUUGAACCUCUUUGUCAUGGCUUAAGGAAAGAGUAUGCACAAAAUACCCAUAACCAUUGUUAGGCUUCUUUAUCAUGGCUUAAGAAAGGAGUAUGGGUCAUAAUAGAGAUGUAAUCGAACCGAGCUGCUCGUAAGCACGGUCAAAAACUUGACUCGAACUCAGGUUGACCAAGUUCGAGUCGAGUUCGAGCAUCCAGAAGCAUUGUUCGAAGGAUUGUCGAGACUUAUCGAGCUUUUUAAUUUUAAUUAUUUAAUAUAUUAUUAUUAUAAAAGUACCCUUAUACCCAAAAGAGUUGUUGAAUUUACGAAAUGUUUCAAAUCAUAUAAAAAUUUUUAAAGGGCAAUAAUUGUUUUUUCGCUAAAAAAUUAUCAAGAAAAUGAAAAUUUUUAACUCAAGCUCGAGUUCGAGCUUGAGCGAGUAGUAUUAUUGCAUGUCGAGUCAUACUCGAGGUCGAUUCGACUCGAUUACAUCCCGAGAUCAUAAUCGUGUUGGUGACAAGGUACAAGUGAGAGUUGGUUGACUUUAGUGAGUCGUUUGAAACUUUAAGACCCGUUUGGCAAGUGAAUUUUUUUGUUAUUUGUCUAAAAUCUUACUGUAAUUUACUGUAAAAAUUUUUAUAAAAUUUUUUAAAGUGUGUUUUUUUUUAAUAUUUUGAAGUGUAUAGUAUAAAAAUUUUAAAAAGUUUUUUAAGAUUAGUGUAGUUAAAGUUUUAAUAUUAGUUCACUGUAAAACUUUUUAUAAAUUUUUUUGAAGUGUGUUUUUGUUUAAUAUUUUGAAGUGUAUAGUAUACAAAUUUUGAAAAGUUUUUUAUGAUUAGUAUAAUUAAAGUUUUUAAAAAAUUUAUAACUGACAGACUUGACAAAAAACUUAACUGCCAAAUAAGGCCGUGUAUGAUGUGAGGCAAAGCGUUAAAGACAAUUUUGUCAUAAAAGAAUAAAAAAAUUGAGGGAGGAGGGCCCGGGUCCAAAUUGGUAGUGCAAAUAACGGCUGCCUUUUAACAAUCAACUAUUCCAAAAGAUAUCUCCAAUCAACGUGGUCAACGUUUGUUUUCAAACUUGCAUUUAUGAAUUGCCUAUAAAGCUAUAACAUAUUUUCUUUUAAGCAACUCGAAAAAAUCGUGAAACACAUCAAUCUUUAAAGACGUCACUUGUGAAAAAUUAAAACAAUUGAUAACAUACAGGAAAUUCUUCCAAACUCGUGGUCUUCACAAUAUUAAUGAUUUUUUCUAUUUUCACGUGAUAAAAUUGGACCUCAUGAUUUGGACUUUUCCAUUGCUAGGUAAUAAUAUACGAAGGGUUUGUUUGGAUUGGCCUUUAUUUUCCCAAAUAUAUUUGCUUACAUGAUCAUUACAAUUUUCAAUACACUUUUUUACCUUCUCAAUUACCUUUUUAUCUCACAUACAUCACAUCACAAAAAGUACUACAGUAAAAAUAUCUCAAAUAACUUAUAAUCCAAACAAACCCAGGCAAAGAAAGUUUUGUUGUUGAGUAACUAGUGAUAGAUCUGGAAAGCUUUAGGUAGUUGUGGUGGUAAAUGAGCAGAGAAAAUUAAUUGAUAGGCAAUAUCAUAAUAAUAGCACCACAUAUUUGUAAGUUGUACCUUUUUAGUCUUUCGAUGAUUCAAGUUUGAUGAUUACAAAUUGCAGCUAAGGAGAUAGCCAAGAGAUGAAAUCUUGGAUGGGUUUUAAAGGAUCAAAUAUGGCUUAGUUUCGGUUAUUGCAUCAUAUCAAAUGGGUAAAGAAACAAUAAACAACCCUAAGGGAUGGAAUAGAAUAGAGAAAGGGUUUGUUUUACAUUUAUUUUUUAAAGUUUUUGAUUUGAAUGAGUGUGCAAGAGUUGGGGAUGUUUUUGAAAUAUUUUAUUGUAGUAAUAUAUAUGAAAAACUUUUACUGUAAAUAUUUUUAAUGAUGUUUUUUGAGAUAUUUUUGAGAUAUAUUUUAGGGUAUUUUUAAGAUUUAAAAAUUUUUAGAAUAAUUUUUAAAAAUUAACACUCCACCCACAAUCAAUAUCCACCACCGCUAUCAUCCCCUCUCUCCCUCCUCCUCUCUUAUUCCCGUACCUCUUCCUCCUCCCUCUCUCCCCUCCCACCCUUUCCUUUCCUUCAUUUUCUCGCUAGAACCCGGGCCUCCCCUUCCUUGCUCUUUCCAAUUUAACCUCAUUGAGACCGGAUCCUGGCCUUCGAUUGAGGCCUUCUGGUUGAGGCUAGAGGGGAGGAGAUGGGGUAUCGUGUGGAAGGGAAAAGGAGAGGAGGAGGCAGAGGGAAGGAGAGGAAUGAGGAGGAAAAAGAGGGAGAGGAAAGAGGAGAAAAGAGAGGGAGGAGUAAGAUGGUGGGUGGGGGUGAUAGAUUAAAGAAGAAGAUAAUAUAGAUUUUAUUUUUUAAUUUUUGAUAUAUUUGAAAUUAUUUUUGAUAUAUUGUAUGGAUAUGGUAUUUUUAGAAUUAUUUUUAUAUGUGUUGCUGUAACAUUGUAUGUGAAAAAAUUGGUUUUUCAAAAAGUGGAGAAUCCAAAUAGAGCCUAAGUUCUUUGGACUACAAGAUAUGGUAUCACAAUGUGCUCGGCAUCAUGAUCAUCUAAUUGACAAAUAAGGGUAGCCAUGAUUCAAAUUUGAACUGGAACACAACCGAAAUCAGAUUGACAAUUUAUUGAAUUGCAACUAGAAUUGAAUUUUGGAAACCAAAAUUGAAACCAUAACCGUGACUAAAAUUUAGGUUCAAAUUCACUAAAAUUUUGAACCAGAAUCAAAAUCAACGGUUUACUAACCGCUCAAACCAUUUGAAAAAAUAUUUGCUACCUAAACGUAUUUAACUAGUUUAGAGUUCAACGUCAAUACUCACCAUUUAAUACUCGUAACUCCAAUUAUGAUCCAACAACUAUUUGUCCCAUUCCAUUAGUAAGUCUAUACUCCAUGACUAAUCUAAAUCCAAGAUGAAUAUAAUUUAAUUAACAAUGAGAUAUUUUUCAUAAAAAUUGCAUCAUUUUUCUUUUUCCUUACACAUGAUAGCAUAAUAAAUUUCUUUCUUUCUUUUUUUUUUUUUUUUUUUACAUUCAUUGUCAUUUUUUCCUAUAACCAAUUUUACGAUAAUAAGUCUUUAAACAUAACUAAAAAAAUUGGAACCGUAAUCGAAAAAAAUCAAAACCAUGACUAGUGCCGAAGGUUCAAGAACCGUAACCAUAAGCAUCCUUAUAAGGAUCGGUUUAGGUUUUCCUUUUAACAAAAUCAAAAUCUUCAAUUUUUAAAUCGAAAGUAUUGAUUUUAGAACCGUGGUCAUGCCUAUUUGGCAAAUGGGAGCACAUGUUACUCCAAAUCAAAGAAAAUGUGGGGUUGUCAAUCCACUCAAGGUGUGGAAAAUAGAAGUAUAAGCUGAAUUGGUGGAGGCAAGGCAAUUGUAAUAUUUGCAAAAGUAAAUCUUAUAUACACUGAAAAUGUUUACACAUCACCAUUUGAUUCAUGAUAUACAGGAAAUUCUUCCAAACUCGUGGUCUUCACAAUAUUAAUGAUUUUUUCUAUUUUCACGUGAUAAAAUUGGACCUCAUGAUUUGGACUUUUCCAUUGCUAGAUAAUAAUAUAAGAAGGGUUUGUUUGGAUUGGCCUUUAUUUUCCCAAAUAUAUUUGUUUUCAUGAUCAUUACAAUUUUCAAUACACUUUUUUACCUUCUCAAUUACCUUUUUAUCUCACAUACAUCACAUCACAAAAAGUACUACAGUAAAAAUAUCUCAAAUAACUUAUAAUCCAAACAAACCCAGGCAAAGAAAGUUUUGUUGUUGAGUAACUAGUGAUAGAUCUGGAAAGCUUUAGGUAGUUGUGGUGGUAAAUGAGCAGAGAAAAUUAAUUGAUAGGCAAUAUCAUAAUAAUAGCACCACAUAUUUGUAAGUUGUACCUUUUUAGUCUUUCGAUGAUUCAAGUUUGAUGAUUACAAAUUGCAGCUAAGGAGAUAGCCAAGAGAUGAAAUCUUGGAUGGGUUUUAAAGGAUCAAAUAUGGCUUAGUUUCGGUUAUUGCAUCAUAUCAAAUGGGUAAAGAAACAAUAAACAACCCUAAGGGAUGGAAUAGAAUAGAGAAAGGGUUUGUUUUACAUUUAUUUUUUAAAGUUUUUGAUUUGAAUGAGUGUGCAAGAGUUGGGGAUGUUUUUGAAAUAUUUUAUUGUAGUAAUAUAUAUGAAAAACUUUUACUGUAAAUAUUUUUAAUGAUGUUUUUUGAGAUAUUUUUGAGAUAUAUUUUAGGGUAUUUUUAAGAUUUAAAAAUUUUUAGAAUAAUUUUUAAAAAUUAACACUCCACCCACAAUCAAUAUCCACCACCGCUAUCAUCCCCUCUCUCCCUCCUCCUCUCUUAUUCCCGUACCUCUUCCUCCUCCCUCUCUCCCCUCCCACCCUUUCCUUUCCUUCAUUUUCUCGCUAGAACCCGGGCCUCCCCUUCCUUGCUCUUUCCAAUUUAACCUCAUUGAGACCGGAUCCUGGCCUUCGAUUGAGGCCUUCUGGUUGAGGCUAGAGGGGAGGAGAUGGGGUAUCGUGUGGAAGGGAAAAGGAGAGGAGGAGGCAGAGGGAAGGAGAGGAAUGAGGAGGAAAAAGAGGGAGAGGAAAGAGGAGAAAAGAGAGGGAGGAGUAAGAUGGUGGGUGGGGGUGAUAGAUUAAAGAAGAAGAUAAUAUAGAUUUUAUUUUUUAAUUUUUGAUAUAUUUGAAAUUAUUUUUGAUAUAUUGUAUGGAUAUGGUAUUUUUAGAAUUAUUUUUAUAUGUGUUGCUGUAACAUUGUAUGUGAAAAAAUUGGUUUUUCAAAAAGUGGAGAAUCCAAAUAGAGCCUAAGUUCUUUGGACUACAAGAUAUGGUAUCACAAUGUGCUCGGCAUCAUGAUCAUCUAAUUGACAAAUAAGGGUAGCCAUGAUUCAAAUUUGAACUGGAACACAACCGAAAUCAGAUUGACAAUUUAUUGAAUUGCAAGCAACUAGAAUUGAAUUUUGGAAACCAAAAUUGAAACCAUAACCGUGACUAAAAUUUAGGUUCAAAUUCACUAAAAUUUUGAACCAGAAUCAAAAUCAACGGUUUACUAACCGCUCAAACCAUUUGAAAAAAUAUUUGCUACCUAAACGUAUUUAACUAGUUUAGAGUUCAACGUCAAUACUCACCAUUUAAUACUCGUAACUCCAAUUAUGAUCCAACAACUAUUUGUCCCAUUCCAUUAGUAAGUCUAUACUCCAUGACUAAUCUAAAUCCAAGAUGAAUAUAAUUUAAUUAACAAUGAGAUAUUUUUCAUAAAAAUUGCAUCAUUUUUCUUUUUCCUUACACAUGAUAGCAUAAUAAAUUUCUUUCUUUCUUUUUUUUUUUUUUUUUUACAUUCAUUGUCAUUUUUUCCUAUAACCAAUUUUACGAUAAUAAGUCUUUAAACAUAACUAAAAAAAUUGGAACCGUAAUCGGAAAAAAUCAAAACCAUGACUAGUGCCGAAGGUUCAAGAACCGUAACCAUAAGCAUCCUUAUAAGGAUCGGUUUAGGUUUUCCUUUUAACAAAAUCAAAAUCUUCAAUUUUUAAAUCGAAAGUAUUGAUUUUAGAACCGUGGUCAUGCCUAUUUGGCAAAUGGGAGCACAUGUUACUCCAAAUCAAAGAAAAUGUGGGUUGUCAAUCCACUCAAGGUGUGGAAAAUAGAAGUAUAAGCUGAAUUGGUGGAGGCAAGGCAAUUGUAAUAUUUGCAAAAGUAAAUCUUAUAUACACUGAAAGUGUUUACAUUAUCACCAUUUGAUUCAUGAUAUGUAUGCAAAAAUUAAAUUUUAAAUUUGAAUUUUGUAUAGUUGUCAUUCAUCUAACGCUGAUAGUGUAUAUACACUGUUAGUGUAAAAAAAAUUAAUCCUAUUUGAAUCUAAAAGUAAGAAAUAUAAGUGUGUGCUUAAAAUUCCAAGAAGCUGUUAUCUCGAAACGAGCUUUAGACCAACAAAUCCUCAUAAAACAAGGCCAAGAAGCUAUUCAAGAAACCAAUUAUAUAUUGAAUCUUCAGUAAUUAAUCGAUUAGGAAAGUUCUUGACUAAGCAUGCAUAAUGCAAUGGAACAUUUAAACCGUCUUUCUGGACUUCUUAAAUUUGUUGAGCCUUUAGUGUACUUUAGGUUUAAUUUGCCUUGCAUAUGCGACUAAUUUUAAUCCAUAUAUUUUGUUCAGUGACUUGAGUCUAAGGCUUGUCAGUAAAAUUAAUCGCUUGCUAGCAUUAUACAGUUUCAAUAGCAUUUUUUACAUUGUGAUAUAUGCGAGAACAAAAGAUUAUUGAAAAGAUAUAAAUUUUGAUUGGAAAAUAUGUUUAUAAUGCAAACAUAUAAUUUUUUGUAAAUAUAAUGUGAUAUCCAAACAAACCCAUUGUUAUAGCUAUCUUUUAGGCAGAUGAAGAAGCAAAACUGCGUGCCAACUGGUGCAUUGCAUACAAAACAAUUAAGACUUUGUUUGAUAACUCAACUUAAUCCUUAAUUUUAAUGGAUUUAAAUUUUAAUAUUUUCAGAUCGUUUGAUAAGCAAAUAUUGAGCAUCUAAAUUUAAUAAGUGGCACUAAAUUUUUUAUGCAAAAUUUGUUCCAAAAUUAAAUGAUAAACUAUUCAUUUAUCACUGAAUCUGAUAUGCACUCAAAUGUAUUAGAUUUAAUGUUUAACAAUUCAAUAACUUAAUGGAUUCAAAUUUCAUAUUUCAAACUUUAAUUUUAUUAAACGCACCUAAGUAUCAAUCAAGUUCCUAUAACUUCAUGGCAUAAUCCUAUUGCCAUUUCUAGCUCAAACACUGGGUUUGUUUGAAUCCAUUAAACAAUUGACAAAUAAUUCUACAAAUAAUACUCAAUUUUUUGCAUGAGCUUCAAUGUUGAUUAAUUUGUCAAUUGUUUCCAAUUUUUUGCGGCCAUUUACUAUUUUUAUGCGUCUAAUUAGAAGUAUGAAAAGAGAUAUGUACCAUGACAGAUUUUUAUCAAAAUUUUAACAUAUUAAUUACUGCAACUUUUUCAACGAUCGAAUAUGCACGGAGCCACAACGUUAAAUUACUCAUUUGAUGAUAUAUUCACACUAAAAAAGAAUGACUGGCUUGGGAUGUUAUUCAGAAAUAGAGUGCAAUUUAGGUAAGUAUAAUUGUAAAAUCUAAAAUUUUUGUUGUCAUUCGUGAUUUAUGAAAUUUUUUUCUAAAAAGCUCCCAAUAAAUGAAAAUGGUUACUACUAUUAUACCUUCAGUCACACCUCACAUUUCCAAAAUAUUGUCAUUAAACACUUUGCAGAUAAUUAAUUGAUGUAUUUGAAUCACCACUUUUAUUCUUUUCAAGUACAUAAUGAAUACAAAAUUUUGCUAGUGAUAUUCUCAAUCUCAAAUAAACAUCCUCUUUUAAUGUAAUCUCAAAUUAAUUCAACUCUAUCGUCUAUAACCAAAUCUCAAAAGAAUUCAGUUCUUGUUUAAAUUGAAGGCCUCAUUUUACAAAUGAGUUUUUUUAGCGUUUGUUUAAAAUUUUAAUGUAGUAUUGUAGGAAAAAUUUUUAAAGUGUAUAAAAUUUUAGAUAUGUUGAAGUGUAUAGUUUAAAAAAUUUAAGAAGUUUUUUGAGGUUAUUGUAGUUAAACCUUUUAAAAAAUUUGUAGAAAUCAAAAUUGACCAAAAUCUUGUUUGCCAAACGAGGCCAAACACGCCCGUAGGCCUCGUUUGUCAAAUGAUUUUUUUUGAUAUUUAUCUAAAAUUUGACUGUAACUUCAUUAGAAGUUAUAGAAAAAAUUUUUGAAAUGUAAUUUUUUGAAUAUUUUGAAGUGUAUAGUUUAAAAACAUUGAAAAGUUUUUUGAGGUUAGUAAUAUUUAAAGUUUUAAAAAAUUUGUAAAAGACAAAUUUGGCAGAAAACUUAUUUGCCAAACAGACUCGUAAUUUUCUAAAGAAAAACUUUUAUAUUUUUCAUAUAUAUAUAUUUUAAUUAAUUUUUACUUCACCCAUAUCAAAUCAAAUUGAUACAAUAUAUAAUUUUUUUAAAUAAAAAUUAUAAAAAAUAAUCUAGACUAGACCUUGUAAUAUUCACGUUCUAUUCAGUAUCGGGUAGCAACCCGUGAGUCUCGUUAUUACUAGGGAUGGUAAUAGGGAUGGGUGCCCGCGGGUGCCCGCCCCGCGGGGGCUCACGGGGCGGGGGCGGGGUAUACUCCCCCGCCCCAUCCCCGCCCCGCCACCCGCAAAAAAAAAAAAAUAUAUAUAUAUAUAUAUAUAUAUAUAAAUGACUAUAUAUUAUAUGUAAGUUAAUUAGUUAUAAACUUAUGAUAAUGAUAUUAUUAAUUAGAUGUAUUAUAUAAUGUAUAUUAGUUUAUGUAAUAUAAUUGAUAUUAUCAAUUAUAUGAAUAAUUAUACAUGUCUACUAAUAUAAUUUAUUAAUUAGUUAUACUAAAUUUACUAAUACAUUUAUACUAAAUUUCUAAUUACACUUAAUAGAAUAACACUUUUUCUAAAAAAAAAGCACAAAACAAUGAUGAAUUAGUGAUUGCAUUUGUACUAAAAGUGAAAAUUUGACUAUUUUAGUUAUAUUUAUUUCAUCAUAUUGGAUUGUAUUCAAAUAACUUCUGUUUGAUUGUUUUUAUGAGUUUCAAUUGUAAAAUUACAAUGAAUAAUAAUUUGGUGAUGUGUUGAUAUUUUAGUACUUGAUUAUUUAUUAAAAUUUAAUUAUAAUAAAAUUUUAUUAAUCCCGCGAGUGCUCCGGGGCAAGACGGGGCUGGGGCGGGGCGGGGCGGGGGGAGCGGAGGCGGGGAACGGAGCGGGGGACGGGGGGAACUAAUAGGCAACGGGACGCGGGGACGGGGGAGGGGUCCCCGCCCCAACCCGCCCAGUUGCCAUCCCUAGUUAUUACCCAAUACCCAUACCCAUAUUCAAACGCCAAUGAUUAUCCAACCCCUCAACGUUCACUUUCCUCGGACUUCACUUCCCUCGUUCAAAUCCACUUCAUUCACUCCCCGAAAUUCCGCCUUCCCGCCUAGAAAUAUUUUCAAAUUCACAUUAAAAAACUCGCAGCAAAAGACAGGGAAGAAGAAGCCCUCCUUUUCAAAAACAAUACCCCAUUUCCUUCACCUUCUUCCUUACCCCCUCAAAAAACCCUUUCUACUCUUUCCCCAUUUUCCACAAAUCUCUUCCAUCGUUCUUGAACUAAUUCUUUCACCUCCGAAAUGGGGAAGAGGAAGGGUUCAUCGACGCCGGCAGCUUCGAGGGAGAAAUCUAGGGCUUCUUCUUCUUCUUCGGUAGAGAAGAAGUCGAAGCGACAAAGGAUGAAAGUUGAGUCGGUUCCGGCAAAUGUGGAUAGUGAUUUCAUGGAGGAGCCGGACGUGGUGGUUGUGUCGGAUGACAAUGAACGGGAGGAUGGAGGUGAGGUCGAGGAGAGAGCUCGCCUAUGUCGCCGGCUGAGAGGAAGACAAAAAGGCGCGUUCUUGCGGAAAAUGAGGAGGAAGGUGAUUUUCGGUUUCUUGGUGAGCCUGUUGCUGACAAGGAGGCUCGUUGUCGGUGGCCUCAUCGAUAUGCAGUCAAGCAAAAGGUCGGAAAUGUUUUGGUUUAUUGUAUAUAAUCGACAGCUAUGGAUUUGUACAUGUGUUUACCUGUGAAGAGUAGAUGAACUUAAUCUGAAAAGGGUAUCUUUUACGAUUCUUCACUUUUCGUUUUUUUUUCUGAGAGUAAGAUUUUAUUCUCCAUUUUUUGCGUAUUCUGAAAAAAUUAGGGCUUUUUUUUAAAGGGUUCUGGACAUUCUUUAUUGUGAUUAUAUUUGCAAGUACGUUGAAUGUGAAUAAAGUUUCAUGUCUUUCCUGAUACAAAGCUGGUUUUUGGCUGUUUUUGUAAGUAAUAAAGAACAAGGACUUUUGUUUUUUCCAAAGAAACAUUUGAGACGAUGUCAACUUUUUGGUCUUUUUAAUAUGAUACAAAUCAGUAGGAGCGCAAGCACAUGUAACCGAGAUUAUAGCAGAUAAAUUGAGGAAAAAGAUGCUGGAAAUAUUGUCGUUGUAGUAUGUCAGAUAUGGGAGCUAGUUUGGAGUAUUAAAAGGGUAUUGAUAGCUGGCCAGAUUAUCCUGAAUAAGCUCAAGUGUCUUUCAACAUGGACGCCCUGAAAACUAAUGUUAGCAGUUCCUUGGGCUUCUUCGCAAGUCUCUGUUUUAUUCUUAGAAUCUCACUGUUGAGGUUAACAUACGACCGUUCUAUGGACAUUGGGAUUGUAUUUCCUUCAGUUGUUUGCUAGUGUCAAAAGUUUUGUCUUUUGGAUCAUGCCAAGUUUGUCCAUUGGUCUUACGCUUUAAACUCGUUCUUUUGCUUUAAACUCGUUCUUUUAUCUUUCGGUGAAUCUAUAUGUUUUCCAUUCUGAGUCUAUCUCGUUUUGGGUGGAAAACUUUGGCUUUCGGAUAAUGCUUUGGUUUUAGUUACUUGUCACUAUAAAAUCUUUAUCUGGUUUAUUCGAAGUUUGAUAAUUAGUGUAUCCUUCUGCGAGUAUGGGUUUUAUAGACUUAAUGGGGGAUUACUCAUCUUGGCUAAGAUUAAUUUUGUCCACAACCUGCACGAACUCAAUGGGAACUUUUAGACGAGCAAAAAAUACUUUUCAAGUGGAUUCUGCGCAAACAAUUUUUCCAUUAGCUCCCUUUAGCAAAUAGGAGGCUGUAUGUUGUCAUUGUUUUAUCUUUCUGAUAAUUAGUAUCCUUUCUUUUAGUGAAUCUUUAUGAACUAAUAGUUAAAUAAAGGUAAUUGUUGUUCUUAAAAGAGCCUUAGUAUGAAAUACUUUUGGUUGGAUCUAAGUGUAGGAGAUACCCCAAUUAUGAACUAAAAAUGGUUUGGUUUUUUGUCAUUCAAACAAAACUUGUUCAUGUUAUCAGCUAUAAUCAUCAUGCUGAAUGUUGAUGUGCACAAAUUUAAUUUGAAUUUUUGGCUGAGUUAAUGAGCUAAUUGUUUUGGUUAUACAGAGGAAACAAAAUGCAGUUUUAAAAGACUCAAAAGGGUGAGUAUAUGGUUCUUGAUUAUUUAAUUUUCUCAUUCUAGUUCUACUUAUUAGAACUCUUUGCAUAUAAAUUGUUGUUCUUUAAUUGCUUGCAUUUUUUUUCUAUUCACUUGGAAAGUGAGGAUGACUCUGAAGAAUUUAUCGAUGCUAAAAGACACUUCACUCAAGCAGAAGUUGAUGGGCAGAUUUUUAACUUGGAAGAUGAUGCUUAUGUACAGGUACAGGAACUUUGCUUCCUUUUUCUAGUAAAUGGAAGAUUUUGCUAGUAUGACAUUUUGAGUGGGCUAGGUCUAGUCAUACCAAAUCAAAACCUAUCUAGUCUAGAGGUGACCUGCACAUAUCGUGUUUUCUGUCAAGGUUUUUAGCAUCUGUCAUGGGUGUGCAAUGAGCUUAAUGUAAGAUUCAUCUCUUGCUCCUGCAUUUGCUUUUUCCAGUGCUGUUAUGUAACAAGGAAAUAAUCUGUUCUCAGUAUAAAUAUGUAGUUGUUGUCAUAUCUUGAAACUCGAAUGCUAUGUGAUCUUUUUAACUUAUGAUUGUUAAGACUGAGUAAUGAUUUUGGAGAAGUAAAAGGAGGGUUUUAAGUUUGUUUACUUGGACUUAGAUGUCCAGCUUUUUUAAAUGGUCUCAGAUAUCAUAGACCAUGUAGUGUUCCAAAACUUAUGAGAUUUUGUGGAUGUGGCAUCGUUUCUAUUUCUUUUAACUGUCUGAAUUCUACGGGGUUCAUUAUCUUUCCAGAAAAUUUAAUGUGAAUUUCCUACCCAUAAAUAUCGUAACUUUUUUUGGGUGUCUUGUUAAUCUUGUUAUGUAUUGCAGGUGAUCCUUGUGGCUUAGCGUUUUUGCAUUGAAGAUUGUAUAAUCAAGGCCUAGAUAUUUUUUUCUUAUAAGUUGAUUCUAGUUUUUUCUUUCUUUCUUUUUUUGGGUUCAAUUUUCCCUUUGCUGAAAGCUGCUUUUAGAGGUUUUUGUUUUUAUCUGUGAAUUUAAAUUAUUUUAACCAUCAGAAAGCUAUUCGUGAGAAACAACUCUAGAGAUUUUUUCCACUGUACUUUUGCUUUCGAAAUUGAGACAAAAAUACCUUUUCAGGAUUUAAACAGCUUGGAGUGUCAUUUUUUGGUUAUAAUCUUUUGAAAUGUGCCAUUUAUGGAGUAUAACAGGCUAAUACCAAAAUAGGAGGAAAUUUUAAAGAGAAAAUAAAUCUUAUAUUGUUGAGAGUUGCCUUCUUUGACAACUUUGUUAGCCUGGAUUUCAUUGUCUUGGUUUUGCCGGUAUUUUGAAUCACAUGUAUCCAAAUCUGGUUCAGAAAGUUGUUUAAUUCUUGCCUAAUUAACAUGCUGUCACAAGGCUGAAGUAGGCAAAAGAAAUUACAUCUGCAAAAUAGUGGAGAUGUUUGAGGGAACUGAUGGCAUGCCGUAUUUCACUGCUCAGUGGUUUUACAGGGCCGAGGAUACUGUAAGGCUUGACAAUCAUUCCUUUAAAUAUCUGUAUUUUCAAUUUCCAUUUUCUGAAUUAUACUGCCACUUCCUGUGGUCAGAUCAUUACAGAAUGUCAUGAAUUUAUAGACGAAAAGCGAGUAUUCUUUUCUGAAGUCAAGAAUGACAAUCCUUUGGACUGUCUGGUUAAGAGACUUAGGAUCGCCCGGCUGCCGCCAAAUGUAUGCUGACUUACCUAAGAAACGUCUUUUCAACUUUGAGCUUCUGUAAACCUUUUUAACAGGACCGGCUGCUAUUUCAGAUGGAUUUGGAAUGCAAGGAUGCUGCAAAAUCAAAUUGUGACUAUUAUUAUGACAUGAUGUUCUUAGAGCCUCACUGCACGUUUAUCAGCUUGCCGCCUGGUAACUUUUUUCCUUUAUAUAUUGUCAGCAACAAAUUACUCUUUCUUUUUUCACAAACUUUAUAGUGUAAAGUUUUGGAUGAUAUUUAUAUUGUCCAGAGAAUAAUGGAGCUGGAAGUGACUCUGGCUCUACAAUAUCGAGUGAAGCUGAUGCUACUGGAGCAGUGGCUAGUGGUGUAGAGGUCUCCCAAGAAGCAAACCACUUGGAGAUGAGGCUACUGGACCUGUAUUCAGGCUGUGGGGCAAUGUCCACUGGACUUUGCCUGGGAGCUUAUAGCACUGGUGUUAAACUUGUUACCGUAAGGACAAUAAGUUUUCUUGAACUUCUUUCUAGUUGUUAUGUCGUUCUUUACCAUUAAAAUAACUUCUCAAUGCAGAAAUGGGCAGUUGAUGUAAACAAGUAUGCAUGUGAAAGUCUAAAAUGGAACCAUCCGGAGACUGAGGUGUAUAUUGCUCCAUAUGGUUUUGUAUCCAUUAUUUCUAUAUUUAUAACCUUGUUCAGGAUACAUUUUUCUUCUUGAUAAUUUCUUUUUGAUUAAGGUACGAAAUGAAUCUGCCGAGAACUUUUUGCUUUUGAUUAAGGAGUGGGAGAGGCUUUGUGUCUCCUAUGCAUUAGUAGAAAGCAAUGUUCUACCACAUCCGUAUGUUAGCUCGUCAAAUGAGCAAGUAGAUGAAGUUGGUGGAGAUGAUGAAGAUGACGAUGUUGAUGAUAGUGAUGGUAAUAGUUCUGAAGUUUUUGAUGUCAAAGAGGUAUUGGCUAUGUGCUAUGGGGAUCCAAAAGAGAGUGGUGCUGUUGGUCUUUACUGUAAGGUAUACUUGUUGGAUUAUCAGUGUACCUUUAUAUCUCUAUCUUGCCUUUUUAAACAUUUUCAAUUAGCUUUGGCUUGUAGUAAUGUCUCUAAAAUGCAAUUUAGAUUCGCUGGAAAGGUUAUGGACCAGAUGAUGAUACAUGGGAGCCUAUAGACGGUUUAAGGUAGGCAUUAAGUCUGGUUUGCUUAGUGAUUUCUUGAUGUUAUUUGUUUCCUUGAAACAAUCACUGACCUUCUAUACGUGUUUCUUAGUGAUUGUCAAGAGAAGGUGAAGGAAUUCGUCACUAAAGGUUACAAAAGAAAGAUUUUGCCUUUGCCUGUAAGUUCAAACAUCUUCCAAAGAGAUGUGAAGUAUACUGGACUACUGCAGAUUAUGUUAUCUAAUUUGUUGGUUUCUUGAUGUCUUGCAGGGAAAUGUCGAUGUUAUAUGUGGGGGCCCUCCUUGCCAAGGAAUAAGUGGGUUUAACCGAUUUCGGAAUACAGACCAACCAUUACAAGAUGAAAAAAAUAAGCAGCUUGCCGUCUUCAUGGAUAUUGUGGCUUUUCUAAAGCCUAGAUUUGUGUUGAUGGAAAAUGUUGUUGAUUUGAUUAAGUUUUCCAAAGGGUAUCUUGGGAGGUAUGCUUUUGCUCGGCUUCUUGCUAUGAACUAUCAAGCACGACUUGGAAUGAUGGCUGCUGGUGCUUAUGGUCUCCCACAGUUUAGAAUGCGUGUCUUUAUGUGGGGUGCUGUUCCUAAAGAGGUGAUACUCAGUUUUUCUUUUUCUUAUUUAUUUAUUCAGGUUUCAAGGCGUCUUUCUCUCUCAUUAGCAGUACUUACUCUUCUAUUAAUGCAGAAGUUGCCUCAGUACCCAUUGCCUACCCAUGAUGUCGUUGUGAGAGGGGUUGUUCCCAAGGAAUUUGAGGUAGGCUAUGGAUGGUAGAAAAAUAUUAUACAAUUUGAUUUUUGCUUCUUUAUUAGCCUAAAUCUUCUGUGUCAAUGUAGUCCAAUACUGUAGCUUAUGAAGAAGGUUCAAAAGUUGAAUUGGAGAAGGAGCUUUUUCUUGAAGAUGCUAUUUCUGAUCUUCCACCGGUAUAUAUUGCCAAUACUAAGCUUUUUUAAUUAAUGUAUGCCUCUAAUGUUCCUUAUAUGCUUAAAACUCUCUCUUGCAAACUUAACAUUUAGGUUGAAAAUGACGAGCCACGAGAUGAAAUGCCAUAUGGUGGUGCGUCCAAGACUGAAUUUCAAAACUUCAUCAGAUUGAGGAAAGAUGGUAAGUUCAUAUUUCUUUAUUUCUCCUUGAAGUACUUCUGGAUUUAUAAUUUUCAAUGCCUUAUUUUAAACUUGGAAUUCUUGCUUGUCUUGGUGAGCAUGGUAACGUGAUUCUAAUGGAUGCUAAAAAAUUUAUCCAACAUUUUUGAUCCAGAGCAAACAAUACACGUUUGCUGGUGCUUAAAAGUUUCCAGCUAUAUUUGUCAUUCAUUGUUUAUGUUGUGAAAAAAGUUGGUUUACCAACUAAGCAUCGAACUAUUUACAUUCUUAAAUCUGGAAUGUAAUACUUAAAUCCAUGAAACUAAAAGUACUUUGUUUUAUAGGUUUCCUUUUUCUAUGGCUUUUAGCUUGUCUUAAUUGAGCACAAUGGAUUACGUUCUGAUACAGGUUCUCUGCGUAGUUUGAGUUUGAAAAGUUAUUGAAUGUCGUCUUUCACAUUUUUUUCUUUCUGAUGCAGAAAUGCCAGGUAGUCUAGGCUUUGGAUUAGAAGUAGCUCCACAUUUGCUGUAUGACCAUAGGCCGCUCCAACUAAAUAGGGAUGAUUAUAGUCGGGUGUGUCAGAUUCCCAAGAAGAAGGUAUAUUUUAGUUCGUUAGUCUUUUUCAUUUUUAUGUUUUUUUUCCUGUCAAAGGACCUUCUCAUGUAUUUAUGCUUUUCAGGAGCUUUGUUAUGUAAAUUGUCAAUUGAAUACUACCUGCUUCUGAACUAUUUGUACCAUGGUUGCUAGGGUGCAAACUUUAGAGAUUUGCCUGGUGUAAGAGUCCGUGCUGAUAACAAGGUGGAAUGGGAUCCAGAUAUAGAGCGUGUCUAUCUGCCCUCAGGAAACCUUUGGUACGACUUCUUGAAUUCUAUAUUAUGCAGAUCAGCAUGUAUUUGUUUAUUUCUUCAUUGAUAAUCCUUACCCAGUGAGUUGCUUGUGCAGGUACCUGAUUAUGCUAUGACUUUUGUUGGUGGAUCUUCAUGCAAGUAAUCUUCAUUUCUCUCUAUGUUCUCAAAUUGCUUGUUUGAUGAAUUUUUUUGUUUUGGCUUUUCACACAACUAUUUUCAUGCCAUUUAGGCCUUUGGACGAUUGUGGUGGAAUGAGACAGUACCUACAGUUGUCACACGAGCAGAACCUCACAAUCAGGUACUGUUGUUGUCACUUUCUAAUUUAAUUGAAUAUUCUGGUUUGCUGUUUUAUACUUCACUGAAUGAAUCUUCUUUGGACUUUGUCAGACCAUAUUGCAUCCAAAGCAAGACAGAGUCCUUACAAUCCGAGAGAACGCGACUCCAAGGAUUUCCUGAUUAUUACAAACUUUUUGGCCCCAUUAAAGAGGUAAAAGCUGAGGAACAAUUAUGUUUCUGACAUAUUUAGGCAUUCUAUAGAGUACGCUAAUAUGAUCCUCAGGUUCUCUCAAUCCUUGUUACACCUCGAAUAAAACAAACUACUCUUGGCCUCAUACUUAGUCUUUUUCCAUUAGUUAGAAUUUGUAGAUAUAUGUUGAAACGAGGAAAAAAAAUUGCAGUAGCAGUGGGUUUGUCCUGUCAGAGUGAAAGAAAAUUAGACCCAAAAAGUUUUUCCCUUUCACCUGUUCUCAUAAUGACAGUGAGGAUUUAGGACAUGUUGCUGACGAAUAUGGCAAUGCAUGGGUUGUGUGAUAAAAUGGUGAAGAGGUUGUAGAACUCUUAAAAGCUUAAUUUUGAGAUGGAAGUGUUCAAUGUAUUGCAUCUAGAUUUCACUGUGAAAGUAAAAUAUCAACUCAACUAGACAGAGGCUUUUCAGUAUAUUUCACCUAGUUUCGCAAAAUCUGGGACCUUCUGCACUUCAGAUAAUCUGUGAGCCAAAUUCCAAAUGGCGUCUACUUAGUGUGCAGAGCACAAGUUACUCUUCUGGAACUGUUUCAGAAAGGCAGCUGGUUUUAGUUGUCUGUCAGCUUCUGUUUCUUCAUGAGUUUGGUCAUUGUCAAUAGGCCUGUGUUGCUCACAUGUUGAGAUGUUAUUUAUAUAGGCAAUUAGUUGCUGAUUUGCUUGACUGCAUCGUGAAAUUUGAUUUGCUUGACUGCAUCGUGAAAUUUGCUGAUUUGCUAUAUGUUGAAGAAAGCCAUGUUCAUUAUCCUGAAAUUUGAUUGGCUUAUUUGGUAAUCAACAAUAUUAUAAUACCUCCUAUGUGAACACGGAAUGGAUAUCUGUUUGCAAUUAUUAACACUCGAUGUUUAUGAUACUCCAGGUACAUUCAAGUUGGCAACGCAGUUGCUGUGCCAGUUGCUCGCGCUUUAGGAUUUUCUUUAGCUUUGGCUUUGAAGGGUUUGUCAGGCGACGAACCAGUACUGCAAUUACCAAAGAGCUUUCCAAAUAAUGUCGAGCUUCCUGCAGAAGUGUCUUCAUGAAGGAAGCCAAAUUUGUGUUUUUGUAACCCAUCCAACACAAAAUUACAUGCCAUUUAUUGGUCACAUUUAUUGUUAUUUGUCGGAAUUGUUCAUAAUUUGUAUCAUUUGAGUACCAUGUUACUAUUAUUUACUCCAUGAAACAGCAUGUGCUGAAAGUAGUACUGCUGAACUCUUGCUGAUCAACUGAUCCUCACACGUUGUGAUGUACGAGCUGAACGUGUUGAAAGAGAAGCAUUAUCGUGCGAAGCAAUGUUCUAGUUUCUAUAAUUUGAUCAUUGACAAGUGCGAAGACAGUCAUUCUGACUUGCCUUUCUUCAUAUAAUCUUAUUUUGAUGGAUGUGGUUGUAUUCGAGAAUGGAAGCAAAUUUGUUUAAAUUAUUUUGAUGGAUCUUUUAAUUUUGUAUCUUUAUUAAAUUUUAUGAUUUUUCAAUUUAAAUAUACUUGUGACAUGUUUAAUGUAUUUUAUGUCAUUAGUGCAAAUUAUUUUGUCAAGUAAAUCGUGCUGGACGAUUUCUAGUGAGAUGAUUAAUAAUAUUGUUAAUGUAUUAUCAAAAAAAAAAAAAAAAACUCAAGUCUUACCAAGCUACUCACUAUUAUUUGAUCGAAGGGUGAAGUGUCAAUAAGACAUGUUUCUAAGAUUUGUAGGGUUUUCUUAGAUUGACCAUUUUAAUUGAUUACAGAUUUUGAUUUUGAAUAAUCAACUUUUGUGAUAUUUUUUAUUACUUUUGUACAUUGAUUACAUAUUUUUUAAUGAUCAUUCGUUUGAAUUAUCUGUUUUUAAAAUAUUUACGAUAUACGAGAUUAUUUUUGAGGAUAUUUUUGAGAUUUUUAUGAUUGUUUUUGUUUGUAUAUUAUUGUAACAUAUAUAUAUGAAAAUUUAGUGACCAAUCCAAACGCAGAUUGUAACAGAUUACUCAAAGAAUAACCUUUGCUGAUUCUAAUUAUUCUUUAUAACAAUUUCUAUAAUCAAAUUUAUAUAAAGCAACCGAGAACAAGGUCGUAGUGGAGUUCAAGUGAAUUUAGUGACUUUGAAAUUGCAAUCUGGUAUUUGAAAGACACUCGUGAUGAUCUUUUGAAGAUUGAUCAUGGUUACCAACCCACCGUUAUUCCUUUCCCUCCUACAAAACUUUGAAGAAACACAAAAAUUCUACCCAGAAAUAAGCAAAUGAAAAACAGAAAGGUCAGCUACAAUAUGAGAUCACCAAAUACUAAAACUGUGAAACACUUGCCCUUUUUGUUUGGAUUAAAAUAUACUGAUGUGAAUUCAGAUCCACAUGAUAGUACUAAAGAAAAUAUGUGAAGUACCUCAUUUAGCAGCAAGAAGUUCAACAACAGGAUUUGCUAUUCAAAUCACCAACUGUUGCAUCAACUACAAAUACAUCUGAAUUAGUUUUAGGAAGCAAAUUUUUGGGAUUUUUUCAAUUUGUCGAUUGGAAAAGGGGCAACCGAAGAACAGCUUCCUCAGUCUCAAUAGGGUCCGAUCUCAAUAUCUGCAAAGAACCGGGUAAAAAAGAAAACCUGAAAUCAGUUUGAACGGUUCAAAUAAGAAGGAAAAAGAAAAGAAUCAAAAUUGACUUACUGGGUCUUUGAGAAUUGGCUUAGUGUCAUCGAGAGCAGGUCUAAAUUGGGUUUUUUCUGUCCUUCGUUUCAGUUCCGCCAUUGUUGCUCUUGCUCGAAGCCUCUGCUGCUGCUGCUUUCUUCAUUCUUUUCAGUUCUAGCUAAGUGGUGGGUUUAACUGGUAGGCGUUGGGCGUCCUUUCUAGUAUUAUGUAUAAGCGUGGCUUUUGUCUAGCUAGGUUGAGGGGAUCCAGUAUACAGAAAAGGGAAAGAAAAAAGAAGAAGAAGAACCUAAUAUAUAAUCAUUUGUCCUGAGUCCUGACUUACAAAAAAUAACCCUUUUCUUCUAACCCUCCCACUAUAGACACCCAGGCAUGUUAAUGGAUUGGUUUUUAUCCAAAUUUAAUUCAAAUCCAAUGUAUUUGGGUAGGGUUUGGAUUUAAUUUAUCAAAACCCUACUUAGACCUAAACCCUAUAAAAGAGUUAUGUAUUUGGAUAGAAUUUGAUUUUUUAUGAUUUAUAUCCAAAUCCAAACCCAUAACAGGCUUUACCAAACCCAUUAUAUAUAGUUAAAUAUAUAUAUUAGUAAAUUUAUAAAAUAUUCUAAUAUUCUAUGGUCAUUGGAUCGAAUACAGUAAGAUUUAAUGAAUUUUUUUUUUCAAGUUAAUCCUAGUUAUUUUUAAUUAGUACAAAUUUCAGAAAAAAGAAGAAAAAGUAAAUGCCAAAUAAAUGAAAGAUUGACGUAGAUACAGUUGAAGUUUUAAAAAUAAGUCGAAACUGUCGAUAAUAGUCACUUUUUGAGUUUAUAAUAUUGCAUUCAACUUCUUGAAUAUUAAUUUUAUUAUUUAAAAUAAAAAUUGGAUGAUGUUUAUAUUUUUGAAAUCUGCAUAUUUUUAAUAUAUUUUUACUUUAGUGUAUUAGAAAAUAUAUCGGUACCCAUUGAUACUCAAAUCUAGAAGGAUUGGAUUUGAAUUUUUUCAGGCCCAUAAGGCUUUGGGUCUGAAUUUAGGUCACUAAUUUAAUAAAUCUGGAUCUAAAUCAAAAGGAUCUAACCUAAACCUUACCCAUUGUAAUAUCUAGACACCUCUAGUAGAGCAUCCAAUGAAUGCCCAACAUUUGUUGUGUGAUUUUCAGUGGUAGCAUGGUUUUGCAUUUGAAAUUGCAUCCAUUCAACUCUCCUACCAUAAAUUCAGGCAUCUAUCUAAUUUGAAUUGUAAUAAGUUCAUUUGGAUAUCCACAUAGUUGAAUUAUUUUCCCCAUAAAAUGCAGCUCUCAAAGAUGAUCUUUUGAAAUUUGAAUUUUUGAAAUUUAUAUGAGAAUUUGCAAGAGAGACUGUGUUGAAAAAUUCAAUUCAAGAACCAUACUUUCUGGUGCUAAUCUGGGCAUGGUUUCAAUACUGCCAUUAUCCUAUGUUACUUGUUGACUAGUUGGAACAAAAGAUCCCGUAGAAUUUAGGUAGCUUUUUUCCCCCAACAGGUUGGUAGUUAAUUGUAUAAUAAAAUUUAUGUGUAGGUUGAUCCCUCUCACACAAGCUAGAUAUUGAAGAUUAAGAAAUUGUUUGUGGCUCCUGUAUAUAUGUUCCACAAAAAGAAGUUCAAACUGAAACAGUAAGCAUAGUGAACCUUUUGAGGCUAUGUCUUCAAGGGCUCAAUAUGAAGUCUGACAGUUGACCUGUCUGAUGAUCUCAUAGCUCUUAAAUGACUCUGCAAAUCUGCAUCUCUGGAUAGACAAAUCCAAUUGUUAUUGACAUCUUGAUACUUGAUCUCAUAACUUUCACCACUCAGGUUGAGCCGUUUCUUUAUCGCAUCUCUGAGUUGCAUCAGUCCUGAUGAAAGAGAGAGCUGAAACUUUAUCAUGACUUCUUUGUAUGUUGCCUUUAUUGUCAUGAGGCUUUCAUUUUGCAUUGUCAUAGCUUGUGGCAUAGGAGGUGAAGCAGAAGUAGCAACUUCCUCAGGAAUCUGAUUGGUGCAUGGCUCAACAGCAAGUCUGAUUGUUGGGUUUUCCUGUGGUUUCAUGAUAGUCACACAAUUAUGCAAAUCAUUGUCGCUGGUCAAUGGAAUCCAUUCAUUGGGUUCAGCUAGACACUUGAUGUCAAAGCUGUCACCGCUUAACUUGAACUGCUUCAUGACUUCGUUUUUCAGUUCCAUCAAUUUUGAAGAAAGGGAAACCUGAAGCUCUACAGUCUCCUCUUUAUAUGUUGCCUUUAUGGUCAUGAUCCUCUCAUUCUGCACUGGAUUUAUCUGCAGCAUAGGCUCCCAACAGAAUCCCUGGAACUUUCAAGGUGUUGAUUCUGAGUAGGCUCAAGAAGAACUUUGAUUGUAUUCUUCCUUUGUGACACCAUAUCAAACAUCAACUUCUGCAAGUCCACAUCAUUGGAUACUAAAAUGUAGUUAUUAUCUUCCUUUUGAUACUUGAUCUCAAAACUUCCAGUUGUCAAAUUUAACCUCUUUGUCACUUCUUUCUCAAAAUCCAUUAUCCCUGAAGAGAGAGAGAGUGGAAACUUAAUCAUGUCUUCCUUAAAUGAUGCCUUUAUCAUAAUUGUGCCUUCAUUUUCUGGUGCUGGUGGUGCCUUUAUACUCUCAUUGUGCACUGGAUUUAUCUGCAGCAUAGGGCUACCAACAGAACCCCUGGAACUUUCAAGGUGUUGAUUCUGAGUAGGCUCAAGAAGAACUUUGAUUGUAUUCUUCCUUUGUGACAUCAUAUCAAACAUCAACUUCUGCAAGUCCACAUCAUUGGAUACUAAAAUGCAGUUAUUAUCUUCCUUUUGAUACUUGAUCUCAAAACUUCCAGUUGUCAAAUUUAACCUCUUUGUCACUUCUUUCUCAAAAUCCAUUAUCCCUGAUGAGAGAGAGAGUGGAAACUUAAUCAUGUCUUCCUAAAUGCUGCCUUUAUCAUAAUUGUCCUUCAUUUUCUGGUGCCGGUGGUGCCUUUAUACUCUCAUUCUGCACUGGAUUUAUCUGCAGCAUAGGGCUCCCAACAGAAUCCCUGGAACUUCCAAGGUGUUGAUUCUGAGUAGGCUCAAGAAGAACUUUGAUUGUAUUCUUCCUUUGUGACAUCAUAUCAAACAUCAACUUCUGCAAGUCCACAUCAUUGGAUACUAAAAUGUAGUUAUUAUCUUCAUUUUGAUACUUGAUCUCAAAACUUCCAGUUGUCAAAUUUAACCUCUUUGUCACUUCUUUCUCAAAAUCCAUUAUCCCUGAUGAGAGAGAGAGUGGAACUUAAUCAUGUCUUCCUUAAAUGAUGCCUUUAUCAUAAUUGUGCCUUCUUCUGGUGCUGGUGGUGCCUUUAUACUCUCGUUCUGCACUGGAUUUAUCUGCAGCAUAGGGCUACCAACAGAACCCCUGGAAAUUUCAAGGUGUUGAUUCUCAGUAGGCUCAAGAAGAACUUUGACUGUAUUCUUCCUUUUUGACAUCAUAUCAAACAUCAACUUCUGCAAGUCCACAUCAUUGGAUACUAAAAUGUAGUUAUUAUCUUCAUUUUGAUACUUGAUCAAAAAACUUCCAGUUGUCAAAUUUAACCUCUUUGUCACUUCUUUCUCAAAAUCCAUCAUCCCUGAUGAGAGAGAGAGUGGAAACUUAAUCAUGCCUUCCUUAAAUGCUGCCUUUAUCAUAAUUGUGCCUUCAUUUUCUGGUGCUGGUGCUGCAGGGUGAGAAACAGAAGUAGUGCCUUCGUCAGGAGGUAAAUCAGAACGUGCUUGGUCUCUAUUACGUGUUCUCUUAUUGUGGUUUUCAGAUCCUCUUGCAUCUUCGUGAGAAAGGGAAUGAUCAGCUUUUCUCUUGUUGGUCUGUCUAUCUAUGCUACGCUCUCUGCAUAACUGCUUUUCUUCAUGUAUGACAACUGUAAAAAUGAGAAUUUGAAUCAAGAUUAAUACCAGGUGAUCUUGUCAGCCAUAUAAGCAAAUGAACAAUGCAGUCAUACUGAAAGCUAGGUUCAAAUUCAAGAUAGCAAACUCACUAUCAGACAUACACUCAGCAUCUUCAAGUUGCCUUCUUGACUGGUUUCUGGGAACCUUCACUCCUGGUGCCUUUACCAUGUCUUCAUUAUUUUGAAGAACAGGAAGAUUGUCCUGUGUUCGUACAUUCUCACAGUUGUUAUGUGAGAAUCUAAGCAAAGGUUGAGAUCCGGUUGUUGCACACAUUUCCAAAGAUUCAUCCAGUCUAUCAAGUUUAAUUAUGUUCAAAGGUGUAUCCGCCCCUGAUUCUUGUACAGAUGCAACCUUGAAACUCUGAAAGUUCUGCUGUACUGCAGCUAAAAAAGCUUUCAAGAGGGUCUGUGGUUUCCCAUAAGAAGGUUGGUACGGGCACAGAAAAAACUCUAGCACAUAAACUUCAUUUCCUGUGGAUCUACUUUGCAGACAGACAGCAAAAGAGCCAGUUAAGUUAACUUUGCGUGCACUAAGUACUAGGGGGUACUCAUCAAUACUUAACUGCUUCACAUCUUUGCAGAAGCAUGAAGCACCAGAUGUAAAUGCACUCCAUACAACACUCUGUCCUUUCUUUAAGCCAAACUGAAUGCAAUCCUUUUGGAAGGAGGAAACCUUCUUGACUGACAUAACUGAUCCCCUUUCACUUGUGCACAUGACACUUUCAUUAUGGUUCUCUCCAGUGCUUGUGAACCAGGUCUGAGCAAAACGUAUACAGUGUGCAUGACAGAAUGCAUUCAAACCGUUCUCAAUUUGACUGAGGUCAAAUUCAUGCUGAGAAAUCUGCUUUGGACAUUAUCAGUAAGAAAAGGAAUCAUACAGUACGAAAAGCGAGUCAGCAAUAAAAUAACUUAACUGAUACAUGUGAAAAAAAUGUGGCUAGAUACAGUCACCACUUACUCUAUCCUUGUGAAGUGACAAAUGUGCAUCACAAAUCCUCAGUCCUACGGCCUGCAGGAAAGAAUAUAACUAUCACUAUACAUUUUUGAGAUCAUCAUAGUGAAAUGAUUUCAGAAAUUGGAAUGAAAUUUUCUAUUAAGACUUGUAGCAUGCAAUGCAGGUAAACAUGACAGCUUUAUGACCGGAUUCGACUAUACAAGAACCCAACAAGAACAAAAGAAGUCCUGAAAUUAUACGAACAUCGCUUACAUCAGUACUAACACAGAAUCCUAUCUGAUGGAUGUGAAGCUGAAACCCCUUUGCUAUUUAAGGGGGAUCUUCACUAAAGGGGGAUCUUCACAGGAUCAUCAUGCCAGCUAUACAGCAUGGUAAUUGAAACAUAAACAAGUCAAAUAGAAAGUUCUUGUCCUUCACAUGAAAAUUUUUCCAACGCCAUGAGUUACAGCUCAGACUUCAUGGGACCAAACGUUGAAAAGGUUUCCACAUCAUAGAUCAUAGCUUAGACAUGAAUGAGUAAUUGUUCUAGUGCGAAAGCAAGAAUUCAUAAUAACUUUCACUAUCAUAGAGUUCAGCAGAAGCUAUGCCACUUCAAAUAUCCUCCACUUCAAGCCAGAGAUGUCAAUUAUGCAUAAAAUAGAUAGCUUCAGCUCAGAAAAACUCCAAUUAUUUGAAGACAGCUGACAUUUCAGGAAAUGUGUUAGCCAAGUUCUACAGCUAAUGUAUCUGAAAAUGACUCUGUAGCACAAGAAGCACAGAUUACUUCAACUGACAGAACUUUUGCAAUCUUUUUGGCUUCCUGAUUUCAUCCAGCGAUAUGAGAAUCUUGCUAAGACAAUUUUUUAGGGCAUGAAAGUAAUGGAAUUUGAUGCCAACCUUUGUAAAAGCUCAAUUAGCUGAUUCUUUUGAAUAAACAUAUCAUUUGCUGGCAGAGAACAAAAGAAGAAAUGAUCUUCGCGUCACUUCCAAUUUCUAAAGAACAAGGAGUUACAAAACAGAAAAAGCUCAAAAGAGAAGCUUGUUCCCCUUGCAUCCAAGACCAAAGCAUUUACAACAAGAAAAAUUAGCAGGUUUUUUGGGCAAAAUUUACAAUAGAAGCACAAUUUCCAUAUGGAGAGGCGAAUUAAACAUGCUAGUACUUUAUCCUUGGUGAAUAAUGGGUUGAGUUAGAAAUCGAACCUUGAAAGCAUCAUCAAUAACUUUUCCAAUUGCAUCAGUAAAGUAAUAAUUCCCAUCCCACGAAGUAAUCAGCUCAAGCACACCGACACAUUGAUCCCUAACUGACUCAAAAACUGGCAAAGCCAGGUAUCCAUUUACACCACAUCUAACAGCAGCAUCCCUCAGUUUAAACUCUUUAGAUGAGUAACAAGACACAUAUGGACUAAAUUCUGAAACCCCAUUUCUAAAAACCCGUCCAACAGGGCCAAGCUCUUCUUGACAAUCAAGAUCAUAUCUGUGUUCCAAACAACGCUUCCUAUACAAACAGAGUCCUUCGGUGAGCAGACUAAUACCAAAAGGAAGAUCUGAAGUCACAAGAAGCUGUUGGGUGCCUAUUGUUUUGGGCAUCCACAGUUGCACUAAAGUGGGAAGAGAAAAACACCCAAACCCUCAAGUGCAGAUUUGAUCUUUUCUUUGAUUGCCGCAAUCCCUUUGUUGUUGUUGAAUUGAAUAGAUUCAUCUUGGCUACAGAAGAUCAUAAGAUGGGAGAUGGACUUCUGGUCUGAUACAGAAAGUUGACUUGGCAUGAGACUGAUGAACUCAGAAACUGAAUAUCUUCCUCUAAGAUCAUCAACAUGGAUGAGUAAAGACUGGUUUUUUUCCAUCUUUGAUACUAUCUGGGAUUGCAUUUCCUAGCUUCAAGAAUUGUUCUUCAAAGCCCCUCUUUUAGCCAAUUCAAAGACUCGAAUAAGGGUUGUUGGCUAUGCAAUAAUCCAUAGAAGAAGGAUUCCAAAAGAGGUUCAAGAGCUCAUCCAUCUUGUAGCUUCUGCCUUCUGUGUAUAUGCAUCGUCGAAUGCAAAGAGUUCAGAUUUCAGAAUGGUUCAGGAGGUCAAAGUUCAGAAAGACAAAAGCAGACAAUGACCCCACGAGUCUAUGACAAUGACUGGUUUGUGGCCUACAUUUUCCCAAGGUGCAAACGACAAAUCCAUAUCACCAAACUCUAGUCACUGCGAGCUGUGGAAUACUGGAAGUGGAAAAAGUCUGAAAUAGGUCACAGUUCCACAACUUUUCGAAAGAAAAUCUGACACGUCCUGCGCUGGAUAAAGUAUACGCCUCCAUCCCCAAAAUUUUGCUUAAAAGAAUUUUCACGCGAUUCAAUUCAGUACGAGAAGAAUCAAACGCUCGGCCUCUUUUGAGAGCCUUCAGAAUUUCUUAUUAGGGAUAAUUUCAGAAAAGCUUAUGUGAAAUUUAAAAAAUUACACAUUCCUCCUUUAUUAUUUAAAAUAAUAAUAUUAUUUUUAAAUAUUUUAAUAAAAUUCUCUUGUUUGAUAUAUUUAUAUUUAGAAUGCCUUUAAAAUUAUUUUUUUUCAUUCUUUUUCCUUUUUAUUUUAAUUUUUGUCAAUAAAAUUGUAAAAUUAUCAUUAUUAUCUCUGAUUUCUAUUGUAACAAAUGUCGAACUAAUGAUUUUUUUGAUGAGUUAACUUUAUAUAUAAUCCAAUGUUUUUUGCUAAUAUUUGAUUUCUAUUUUUUAGUAUUAAAAUUAAUAAUAAAUCAACAAGAAAUUGCCCAAAAUUAUUACUAAAUUAUGAUAAUUUCACUGCUCAAAAAAUUCAUAAACUCUAAAUCAAUUAUUUCAACAUUUAUUGUCUAUCUUAUAAAUCUAAAUCUAUAAUAAAAUACCAUCAAAAGUAUCCUAUCAUAGUGAUAAAUUUAUUAUUGCAGUUGUUUAUCAAAUAAUAGAUAUGGAGAUGAAAAAUUCGGCACAUUUUUCUUAUAAUUACAUUAGAUAAUCUUAUAAUUUUAUAAGAAAGUAAAUUAAAACUCAUUACACAAGGCAUUUUGGGUAUUCAUUAAAAAUUUGACCAAGUCAAUAUUAUUUUAAGAUUUUGUUACUAAAAUUAUCAAAUCAAGAGAGGUAUAUAUAAUUUUUCAAAUCUUAGGAGAGUUUAGUGAAAUUGUUAGAAACCUCAGGGAAUGUUUCUGGAAUUAUCCCUUCUUAUUAUUAUACUUAUGUUUAGUGCUUCUAAUUAAGGGCUUAAAUUAAUCAUACUAAAUGAUUUGGAUUCACAAGUAGUUUGGUUAAGGGCUUGAUUCGAACUCAAUAUCGAUCGAGUUGCCGAGUUUAAGUCAAAUUCGAGCUACUUGAUAAAGUAAUCAAGUUGAGUUUUAAUUAGGGGUACAAAUUAACCAUGCUACUUGAUUCAGACUCGCGAGUACUUUGGUUAAAGAUUCAAGUCGAACUUGGCAUCGAUUGAGUUGCCAAGUUCGAGUUGAGUUUGAACUACUUGAUAAGGUAAUCGAGUCGAUUUCGGGUGAAAAAAAAAUCAAAAUUCGAGUAUUUGUCAAGCGUCUCGAGUAGUGUAUUUACAAUAUAGUUUUUAAUUAUUUAUUUUAAAAUUAUGAAAUUUACUAAAAACUGAUCUUAAAAACUCAAUUGAACUUGAUUGAGUUCAAUUAAACUUGAUUUGGUCGAGUUCAAACUCAAUUUUAAAGCACUCAACAAUUUUAAAUUCGAGUUCAAGUAUUUUUAUUAGUAGAACUCGAAUGACUCGAUACUUGACUCGACUCGAUGACAGUCUUACUUCAGACCCGAUCGUUGGCUACUGGCAUCGAUUUUGCCAAGCAUAUGAAGUUUCACACAAAAUAGUGAUCACAGAUUACACCAAAUUCAGGCUCCAAUUCGUUAAAUUUACAUGUCAUGUCAUGUGUCCCCUUCUGACAGAGUAUGCGGUAAUUUGGAAACCGCAGGGACAAAUGCCACAUGUUUACUGCAUAGUAUAAUGAUAUCCAAAAUCAGUCAAAAUUGGUCCUCAUCAAGAACGGCAAAAGAAAAACAAAAUCGGUGUAAAGUCUGAUGAUUUCCCGCCAGAUUGAGACCCUGUUACAACGGUCAAAAACCACUAGUCAUCUUCUUCAACUGCAAUCUCUCAGCAUCAAAACAGCUCUAGAUCAUCAAGAACACUUCCUUUCUAGACUUAUACUUGCAUCGUCUUUAAUAUCACUGCAAAUUUCAAGAGAAAUCUUUGACAAAUCACCGAUUACACCAUCACGUUUUUCUCGGAAUACACUGAUUCAAGGGUAUUCAAAGAGCUCAAUACCAUUAGAGUCGGUAAAAAUGUUCGUUGAUCUUCAAAGAAGUGGGAUAAAACCCGACAACUAUACAUACCCUUUUGUGCUCAAAGCUUGCGGGCGUUGUUCAAUUGGUUGGAGUAGGUGGGACUCUGCAUUCAAUGGUGUUGAAGAUGGUUUUGAUUGGGAUUUACAUAUAUGCAAUACACUGCUCAGAAUGUAUGGAGGGCUUCAUCUGAUUGCGUAUUCGAGCAAGUGUUUGACGAUAUGUCUCAAAGAGAUGUGGUUUCUUGGAGUUCUAUGAUUGCUGCUUAUGUUAAUUGGUACGUUCUAUCCUUAAUCAGUUACCGAAGUAAUGCUAAUUCUUUUGUUUUAUUUCCUUCUUACUUGUCUCAGCAAUUAGGGGUUCGUAAUUUAUCUUCGAAACACCUAACUUCCUUUGCAAUGAGUCGUAGUGGGGUUGUUCAUGGUAGAAAGCCCAACUACGGAGUGUACUUUGUUUAGAGAAGGGAAGGAGAAAAUCAGUUGGAGUAUGGGAGUCAGACUUCUUAGUCGACUCCUAUGUUUUUGGACGUCCAUUAAUAUUAUUAAUAUUUUUUUGGCUUCCAGCAACAAAGGCUAUUAUAAUGCAUAAGUAUCAUGCUGCACAAAUUCCAUUGAAAGAUAAUGACUUGUGCAUAGAUCGUAUAUAAUCCAAUUGAUCUUGUGGUACUUUGCUUAUGCUCUUCAUUUUUCUUUUGCUUUUACUUUCUGCUAAUUCUGGCCAGGGGAUAUGGUUUAACUCCCUAAACAACUUGUUCAAGCUCUAUUAGUCACAACAUGCUUUAAUCACAGAGUCAUAUACAACUUAUUGCAUUUUAAUUACUGGACUCCCGAAAACAUUAUAUUAUAAUAUUUAAUUAUCAAGAAUUAAGAUGAAGGUUUUGGUAUAUGGUAGCAAAAGGCAAUAAAAAUUAAUCUACUUUUCCAAAAUGAAUGAGUCUCAAUCUUGUUAACUGCAGCAUAUUCUUAAUGUUUAUAAUAUAAGGUGCCUAAAAUUUAUACUCUUUAUGGGCACUGCUUCUUCAAUUCAUUAGCUACUAUUUUCUAGGUUUUAGGUGCCUUAUAGCUUGUAUGGAUGUAGAUACGAUCACUGUAAAAAAAUUUCUUCCGCACUGUUUACAGCUGACCUUGUUUACAAGUUAGCUUGAUCGAUUAAGUGCUAGACACCCUUGAGAACUUGUUAUAUGGGGACUUAUGGCCGUCGUCUUGUGAAAUUGUGCUGAUUGUUGCGUCUCAAAAUGAAAAUUGAAGUAGUGGAAUGGUAUCUGAUGAUUUUAUUGUCGGCUAAGGGGAUUAUCUUUUACUUCCUUUGUAUUCUUUAGCAUGUAGUUAAGGCUCUCUGUUUCCAAUAUUUUAACAUUUUAUAGUCUUGAAGUUUUUGUUUGACCUAUAACUUGACUUUGAAUGAUUACAGUAACUGUCCUGUAAAUGCUUUAACUGUUUUCCAAGACAUGAUCAUACAACAUGAGAAGCCAAACUCCAUCACUUUGGUUAGCCUGCUUGCUGCAUGUACUCGUCUCCUCAAUGUCAAGCUUGGAGAAUCCAUUCAUUCCCGCAUUCUAACUAACGUGUUGGAUUGAAUGUUGAACUGGGAACUGCUCUUCUUGAGAUGUAUGCAAAAUGUGGUCACAUGCUGGAAGCGUUCCUUAUUUUUGAUUCAAUAAGUGAUAAAAAUUUGCAGUCUUGGACUGUCAUGAUUUCUAGCCUUGCAGAUAAUGGCUUUGGGGAAGAAGCUAUGUCAUUGUUUUCAAAAAUGCAAGAAGCUGGCCUGCAGCCUGAUAGUAAGUCAUUUUCUGCAGUUCUUUCUGCAUGUAGUCACAUGGGUCUUGUUGAUGAGGGAAAAGAUUAUUUUGAUAAAAUGGUAAAGGUUCAUAAUAUCAGGCCAACCAUGGAACAUUAUGGUUGCUUGGUGGACAUGUUUGGUCGUGCUGGAAAGAUUGAAGAAGCUUAUCAGGUUAUAAAGAGCAUGCCCAUGGAACCUAAUUCUAUUGUAUUGAGGAGCUUCAUCAGUUCAUGCAGAUAUCAUGGCCGUAUUGUUUGUGAAGAAAAAAUCUGAAGCAACUUCUUAAAAUAGAGCCUGAUGUUGGAGCAAAUUACGUGCUUGCUGGGAGUAUGUGCUCUCUUUCUGGCUAUUGGAGUGACACUAAUGACCUUAGAGUUUCCAUGAAAGAAAAAGGUUUAAAGAAGGUUCCGGGAGCAGUUGGGUGCAGCUGUCUAGUGCCUAAUCCCAGAAAACUGAUAAAAAGGCCAUAAGUUCCUGUUCUGGUUCAGAUGGCUUGAGACUUGCAUUCUGGAGAGCUGAUGAACAAUUUGCUAGUUCAAAAGGCCAUUAGUUUUCUUGGUAAUAAUGAUGUUAAGAGGAAGCCCUUUGCUUCUGCAAUCAAAUGAUCUUUGUUUGCUGGUAGGAUUCUUGGAGUCUAAACUAAUUUUGGAAGAGAUGACACAUGGUUUGAGUUGCAAAGCUUUUAUGACAUGAAUACCUUCAUGCAGGAAUGCUUCUGUGCAAUUUGAGGUUGUUUCGGUUGUGGUUGGUGUAGUAUGGAAUACCUAUUUGUAAGAUACACAGAAGUUUAGAGUCUUGCUAGCAAUUGAUUACAUGGUCUCUUGAUUCUUCUAUCACAGUGGGUUUCAUUAGAGCACCGAAUUAUGCAGAAGUUUUGCUGCUGAAGUUAAAUGGCUUGAAAAUGGGACUUUCAUUAAUUGUUACGUGCAUAAAAUUGCUCAGUAUCCAAUUGCUGAACCAAUUCAGUUGUAACAGACUGCAAAGGAAUCAUGUCUGUAAUUUCAUGUGAAACAAUUACAACAGACAAGAAACCAUGGGUUUCCGCCUGAGCACGGAAGAAAAGUGAAAGAUUCUCUAUCUCCAUGCAAAAUGUGAGAUGAUAUUUUCCUUUAGGGCCAAAUUUCAGUAGUACAAGCUUCAGCUUUGUUUGGCAGUGGCGUGCAGUUAGUUGUUUAUGCCUAUUGCUACCUUGUCUUCUGCUCUCUACUGCAUAAGAGUUUUUCAGAAUUAGUUUUUAAUGGUAUGGGCCAUUUAUCUCUUGCCUUUUGGUUUCCUUAUGGAUGCAUUUGUGCUCUAGACAUACUUAUGCGUAAUGCAAUGCUAUGUUCAUCUGGAAGUCAUUUCCUUGAUUUGAAAAUCAUAAAAGAAGCAUUUAUGUGGUCCAAGUUCUCGGGACCAGUGUUCUUCUUAAGUUAUAGUGUUCAAUCAGUUUAAUUUUCUUCUGACGUUUGGCAAAUUGGAUUGGUGGGCAGUGGCAGAUGAAGUGAAAGUUGCAGCAGGCAACGAUAUCAUGCUGAAAGCUGCAUGCUAGCACGAGUAUAUGAAUCGUGAAGAUGAUUAAAGAACAAUGAGAUUAUUUGUUAGAAAAUGCUCUCAAUUCCAGAGGAUCCAAUACUAAGAGAAGUAUUGCUCCCUUUAUCACAACAUUAAUGUACUCUAUUUAGCUUUAUUCAUGUGAUUUAGGCAUUUGCAACCAUGAUAAGAAGGAUGAUAAUGAGAAGGAUGAUAAGCAUGGCCUUGUUUGUACUUUGUGUAGAUAGCUAAUUGUCUGUUCAUGACUGCUGUCUUCUAAAGGAUGCUGACCAACGGACCUGACUUUUGUAGGUUAAGGAAGAGGAAAUGCCUUUGUUUGGAAAUCACAUAAGUACUUUCAGGUUGCAGAGCUCUAUUCAUUCUAUCUUGCAGUUCUGGCUUUCCUGGUUUUUUUCUAGGUCAUAUAAUUGUUGUAUGUUAGCAUCAAUUACGGAGGCUACGCUCUAGCAAUCCAGAGAAUACAUAAUUUAUGCAUGCCAGGGUGAAUUAGCAAACUGAGUUUGUUCUUCCUGCUGGUUCUCUAAGGUUAUGAACCUUUUUUUUCAGGAUUUUGCUAGAGCAGUAAACAGUUUAAGUCACAACUAAAAUAUCUAGAGAUGAAAUAUUGUGGCUUUCAUGAGAUGCUCAUCUGACCUAUUGCUGACAAUUGUGGAGAAGUCCUGAUGUCUAAUCAAGCUGACCUCUGUAAUGGCAUCCCUGAUGAAUGUACACGUCCGGUGAAAUGUGGAAAUACAAUUUUUUUUUGGGGUUUUGAUGCCAUAUGAUGUUAGUAACUUUUCAUUUUGGUAUAAGAACUGCUUUCUUUCUCUGAAUUAGUUUGGCAGCUGAUGCUCACGUUCUGAGUGUACAAACUUAUACUGCAAUUUGGAACCUCUCUUUCUGACCGUCACUUCUGUAGAUUGAACAUCCCUUUGAAUGUGUUUUGACAGCUGACAGUCUACACAAACCUUAAUUGCUUGCUUUAUUUUAUCAAGCUCAAACUUGAACUCAAGCUCGACGAGCUGCUAAUUUAAAGCUUGAGCUCGAAUUCGAAAAAUUAAAAAAUAAUUAUUUUAAUUUUUAAAAAUAAAUAAAAUAAUAUUUUUAAUAAUAAUAAAAUAUUAGGAUAUAUAUGUAAUUUUAUUAUUAAAAUAAAAAAAAUAUAUAUACUCGAAUCGCGAGCUAACAAGUUUAAUAUUUUUGAACUUGAGCUUGAGUUCAAGUUCGAUUUGCCCAGCUCAAUCUUGACUCGAAUUAUUCUGAACAGCUCGAUUCAAGUUCGAUUUGCCCAGCUCAAUCUCGAUUCAAAUUAUUCUGAGCAGCUCGAUUCGUUUGUGAUUCUUAACUACUUUGUCCAAGAAUGGUUCCAACGAAAAUCACAUGCAUGAAACCUGUGUUAUAGUCAGCGAGUUCAGUAUUAUUUUCCAGAGGACAAAAGAACAGACAAAAAUGGUCCCUUUUGUACCCCAAUUUUUUUUGUUUGAUGCCAAUAUUAACUGAUCUAGUGGCAACCACAAUGGUGGAAUCUUUAUAAGUUGAAGUUAGACGCUCAAUGGUUCCAAAGUGUUCAGGCUUAAUGCUGAAAUUUCCUUUUUGAUUCCUUUUUAUUUAACAAUAUUGGUUUAAACCUGAAAGCAAGAUUCUAUUUGCUUAAAAGCAGUUUUAGGAAACACAACACAAUUAACAGGAGGAGAUAAACCACAUUUCAAGUUCUUUCCCCACUCUUCUUCAAAUUUGGACUCCAGCUUCUUUCCCUCCAUACUUCGAAACGGUUGCUCAUGUUUGCGCAAGGGUCCAUGACUCUUCUUUUUAUCAUUUCCUAUUGGAUUUCCUUCUACAUUUGUUAUUUCGGGUGCGUUUAAUAAAAUUGAAAUCUGAAUUUUGAAUUCUAAAACUUGAAACCUAAUAUCUAGAUCUAUUAAAUUAGUAAAAUUGUUAAAAACUGAAAUCUUAAUAUUGAACAUAUUUUGCAUUAAGCGAUAAGUGAAUCGUUUAUGAUUUAGUUUUGAGUAAGUUUCACAUAAGUUCAUUUAGAAUCAUUUAAUUAAUUAAAAUGUUCUAUUUUUUUGUUAUCAAAUACACUUAAUGUCUGAACGUAUUUAAAUGUUGAGUUGAAUUAUUAAACAGGUCUUAAUUGCUCUAAUCUAAUCAUUUAAUAGGCUAAUAGUUUAAUUAAUUUUCCAAAUUAACCAAAAAUAUUUUUGACUGCAAUAGGGAACUAGGAAAAUGUAUUGAAACUUAUUGAGAAUGCCCCAUGUGCUUGCUUUAGUACUGUUACUUUAUAUGUUACCCUACACUGAAGCUUCUGGUUCAUCAUUUGUCUGUCUCAUUGUUGGUGAAGAUUGUGCUCCAAUUCCCAAUGAUCUUUAGAGAUCAAAGUCCAUCUUAACCAUACAGAGUAGUUAAUUAAUCAUGUUGAUCUUUUCUUUUCUUGGAUAAUUAGUUCAUUAAUCAUUUUCAUAUUGGCAAAGUGCAUUUGUUUUAGAAAACGAGACGCAAAAAUCAUCCUUUUCUUCUGUAAUCCAUAUCAACUUUACAUCAUUUAACUACUCAUUUAAAGGGAUGGUAGAAUUUCCCUUGAUUUACAUAGGGAGGUUGCUUUAAAUCAAUAAAACAGUGAUACAAGUGUUUUUAUGUUUCAGAUGAACACCAGAAAAUUAUGAUCAAUUUACCAUUUUCUUGUUUGGAUUUGAAUUUUGAAUGGCAUAAUAUAUAGUAGCAUGAUUAGAAAACACAUUUUCUCACAGAAAACACACACAAACCUGAAAACGUAGGUAUACAAUUACUCUCAGUUCUUAACCCCUUCGAAAGAAGAAAAAGAAAAAAAAAAAAAACCCAAAACAGGUUGUAUACUAAACUUCUAAUACUGAUAAACGUUAAAUAUUUACACAUGAGAGGUCAAAUUCUGCUGGUCUUCAACCCAGACAUUGCACUGGAAACUAAAAAUGAACAAGAAACUAGUCUCGUACCAUACAUAGAAACUACUGCGGCUACUAUGUAGUACUACAUAUUUCUAUCUUCUGCUAAAUAAAGGGAACCAACGUUCUUGGAAAGAAGUAUGGUGAGAGACCAUAAAUAGGAGAAAAAUGAGCAGAAGUGCAACCCCAACUGGAGAGCCUCCAACCCUGUGAGGUGAGUCCUCCUCUGGUGAAGAUGUCACAGAUGGACCACUUUCUGAAUAUUCGCCCCUUGAUAGCCAGUGCACCACAAGGAGUAAAAUCACAGGAAAAAUCAGCAGCACAAGCUUCAACUCCUGUAGUAUGUCUUCAUACUUGUUCUCGUAGUUGAUGUACCAUGUGAAUACCAAGAACAAGAAAACUACGAGCAAGAAGAAGAAGAAGUGAAUGGGUAGAGAAAGGUACUGUAGAUAAUGGUUGUAUGAAGACCUGUAAUAUCUAGCCAUAGUGGUUGAUUCUGGAAGUAGCUAGUAGUGUUGUGAGGAGAGUUGGAUGUCUAUUACAAAGAGUAGUAUUGUAGCUGAGAUGUACUAGAAAGCUAGCUAGGUGAUGGUGUGAUGUAUUGUGGAUACAAGUGUAGUAGUGCUUAGAAAUAAAUGUUUCCAAGUGGGGAUCGGUUUAUAUAGAGGAGAUAUCAUAUUUUUGCACAAAAAAUGCUAGUAAAAAUUAAGGGCCAAUUAUGUGGUUUUGAUAAAAGGAUUCCUUAAAUUGAUGACAAAAUUUAGUCAUCCUCUCUCGUAAAAUUACAUGGUUGACAAGACUAAGUCAUGACACUUCAUUAAAUUUUCGUUCUCAAUAAUAAUGUACUCCCUCCCUU
This 60462-nucleotide long non-coding RNA is filed under the name Coffea arabica (coffee). RNAcentral describes it as "long non-coding RNA (CARA_LNC000030)". The record is from RNAcentral. Lineage: Eukaryota; Viridiplantae; Streptophyta; Magnoliopsida; Gentianales; Rubiaceae.